UGGCUGUAAACAAAUUGAGCUAGCAAAGUAUUCCUUAGAAGCCAAGGCUAACUCAUGUCAGACAGAAAACAUAGAAUCCCACAUCGAAGUAACGCGAAGAAGAGGCAUUAGACAUUAGUAAUAAAUAACAAGCACGAAGGCCUCACCAACAUACUUACCUGGACGGGGUCAAUGGGUGAUCAGAAAGGCCCAUGGCCUAGAGUAGUGACCUCCAUUGCACUUAGGAGGGGUGCUGCUCUAAGGUCUCCCCAAGUUGGGAGAGCCUACGUCAUAAUUUGUGAUAGAGGGGGCCUGCGUUCGCGCGGCCCCUACUAAUCUCUAAUCCAAGUGUUUCGUAUCGGUUUGGGCCGUUUGUAUAAAUGUUAGGUAUUUCUCAGUUGGGACGCACUACCAUUAUCUCAAAUCAAAUAUUGUGGUUGUUCUUGGGUCGAGACUCUGGCCCAUCCUCUUCGAAGUAUAUGUAUUAAUAUUGGAAUUUGCUAACUAAAUAUAAAUUAAUAUUAAGGCAGUUCAUGCUAUAUAGUCAAGAUAUUCAACAUUGAUCUUUGGUUAUAAAAAAAUAGCUUUUCUCUUUGAUUAUUUUUGGGCGGAGAAAGUGCCUCAGGAUGUGGCCUAGGGAAAGCCACGCAUGGCUGUAAUUGACAUUAAAAAACAAAUGAAUGAUAUAAUUAUCUAUAAUCAGCAUUUCUAAUAUAUGGGAUUAGAACUGAAACAUUUAAAAUUUGGAUCUUCUGAGUAUUUAAAAGAAGGAAAUGAAAGAAUAAGAAGACUGUUCGAGUUUUUAUUGCACUUCACUUAAAAACAUGAACCAAAUUUAGCAUCAUUGGCAACCAAGUUCCGCAUACACAGUGACCCUGUAUUCAGGUUACUGGUGACAACAAAUAUUGAUCAUAAACUAACUUUUACAAUUCAGAAUCCAACAACACAGAUUCAGAAAAUCGACCUCUUUGUACCAAGUCUAUUGAUUCUUCUUCAGCGUAGAAGUAGCAGUUGAUGACUUAAGGUCUCGAUUAGAAGUUCUAAUGAUGAAAAGGAGAGUUUCUACGAGCAUUCCACACACUAUACCAAGAAUCCCUCCAGCAGCACUCUGAAUUACAUGGAAACACUGACGUCAAUAUCAGCUCAACCAGAAAACAGAAGAGGAAUCAGGAUAGAUAACUUUAUGUAUGCUCACAAGCAAAUGGAUGACUAAAGAAAGCCAAAUUAUUCAGAUGGAAAAUCUCCCUCUCUCUCUAAGCACAAAUGCGGCGUCCUCUUACCAUUGCAGGACUGUGGCCAAACAAUGCCCUGAAUGCUGCAUAUCCCACAAGAUAGCCAGUAAACAUGGUAAGUGCAACAUGUAAACCUGUGGAAGUUACAGAAGGCCAUAACUUUCAGAACAAGAAGACAGAUGUAAUAUGCAAAAUUUCCACAUAGGGGUUAAGAAUGCCCCCUGAGUCGCGACAAUACAUAAAAUGGAAAUGUCAGGCCAAACGAUUAAAAAAAAAUCUGAACUAAAAGUUUUAGCCUAUCCUUUUAAGGCAUGUUAAUUGUCCAGUUUGUCACAAUGACAUAAUCGAUCAAAUAUAAUUUCAUUAAUGGAAUAAGCUUUAAUAACUAACAGAAUCCAGACCUUUGAAUAGCUAUUCAAUUUGAUCAUGGAUUUAAAUCAAAGUUGGGAAUGUAUUAAUGGUUAUGAUCACAUGUAUAGAAAAAGAGCUAUCUCAAGUCACAACCAUAACAUAAUUGUAAUGGCACUAUCGAUAUCAAAUCUUUAAAUUUUGUAAAAUACAGUAAACGAAUUUAACCAUCUAAGCUAAAAAAAUAAAAUAAUUAAAGAGCAUAAUUAAGUAAAGAAAGAUUUUAAAUCUUUGAUUGAACAAUUUUAACUCAAGUACCUAACAUGAAACAAAAUAAGACUAAAGAUCUAAUCUUAUCACUAACAAGUAAAAAAGGAAAACUAUUAAAAUAAUGUAAAGAAGACUCUAGUCUUUUUUCAAGGAGACAUGCAAUGCCGAAGGAAAACAAAGUAGUUGCAUAGGUGAAGCAGGAGUUGAAGCACAGGAGAGACUGCUGAAACUGGAGUUGUGAUCGGAAAAAAGUUCAUUCCACAUGGUUCCUUGCUCAAUUUUACACUUGCUGUUUUUGUCUUUUUUACUGAUGCUUUGGAAGAUAGAUUCAAUAAUUACACUCAUAACUUGGGAUUUGAAGUAUGAAGCCAACCAUAAAUUUCAACUGGAUUUAACAUUUUUUGCAUUCUAAAACUUUUUCCAGACUCUAUUCAGUCACGUUCUUGAAAUACCCUCUCUAAUAUCCAACAAUUGUGCAUCACGCAGCUAUCCAACUAAUGAAUUAUGACUAUUGUAAUAUAUACCACCAUAACCUAAGAAUCUAUGUGAGACAAUGCAAAAAAUAAUGAUAUCCAGUACAUAUGUAUGGGCAACGACCGCAUGUUCAAUUUUAUUUUUUUUUAAAAAAAAAAAUAAAACAUAUUCUAUGUUCUAAUGAAUUCCAAAUGUUGUUAGUAACGAGCAAUCCAUGCUGAGUAGAGCAAUAUCAUAUUGUAAAAGGAAUUUCAGAUAUAAGUUUGCAAGUAGACUGAUAGUUACCAAAACCAAGCUGAUCCUUGUAAGAGGAGAAAGGCUCAUUCUCAACCUUCCUAGGCGUUAUAUCCUUAACAAGCUCUAGAUAUGCAUUCUUCUCAGCCAAUUCUUGGAGUUUCCUCAGUCUUGCCUUUAAUUCUUCACUCUAUGCCAAUCCCCAAACAACAGAACACAUUUCAGUUGUUAUUGUCGAUAAAAUUUCAUCGAUUUAACUAAAAUUACAUGAUUUUUUUUUCAAUUUCAUUUGCUGUUUUAAACGCAUACAUAUAUUAUAGCUCUCCAUACAAAUACGUUCAAAGGAGUAAUCACGCUCUGCUUAGUAAUGAAUAAAAUAAACACAGCUGAACGCGGAAUACACAUAACUUCUCGAUUUUCCUAUUUCCCAGGAACCAACAGAAAAUUGAGAGAGAGAGAGAGAGAGAGAGAGAGUAACCAGGCUUACCUUUUCUCUAGGUUUAGGACUGGUGAAGAUGAAUUCGGAUCCAGAGAAGAGGCUGAUCAAUUGAGGUCGGGUAGAAGGGUCGGAUGCGAUCCAUAUGCUCCGAAGAGAACCAUAGUGUAUAUGAUUUUGAGAGAUAAGAUUGGAAGCAAGGUCUCGUAGUUGAUGAGAAAGGCGUGGCUCUUUGGAGGCUGAGAGAAGAAAGGAGCGAAUGGAUUCAGUGGGCAAUACAGCCAAUCCAGGUGAGUUUGGUGGGAGGGUUUCGUUGCUCAUUUCUCAUCUACUGGUUUUGUGCCAGCGACAUGGAACCAAGGAGACUUCGUCUUCAAUAACACCUUCUGUUUUUCAUUUUAAGCUCAAAUCGACUAAUUUUUUGGGGAAAAAAAAACUUAAAUAAAAUAAUAUUUUCUUCCAUUUUUAAUAGUAAAAUAUUAAUUUAUAUAUUUAAAUCAAUGAUCAAAGUAUAAUUUUUUUAAAAAAAAAUCCCCAAAAAGGGAAGAAUAAGAACAGAAAUUCAGAACUCAGGAACACAAUUUCAGAAUUUAUUACAUAUAAAAAUCAUAAAUUCAAAAACACAAAGCAAUAAAAUCAAAAACAAAAUUUUAUAGAUGGAUGACUAUACUUAAGGCAUCUACGAAAUUAUAGGUGUAUAAUUUUACUUUUAUUAUAUAUAUAUAAAUCUCGAUAACCUUGCUCUGAUGGUUGAAUUUUUUACUAAAAGGUUAUUGGAUUGGAUGCUAGUUCUGAUAGCUUGCCAUGCUCCUUCCAUGUCUUUUAUAUAUCGCCUGACCUGAAUAUCCUUUAUUCCUGAGAUGGACUGCGCCAGUGUGGCUCCUUUGGUCUUCCCCCACCAAGUAUGAGGUUUUUUCCUUAAUCGUUGUUAAUCAAUGCAUAAUUAAGAAUAUCCCUACACAGCCAAAUUCAUUAGUCAAUAAAUCUAAAUUGCACAUAAUGGGUGAUAGGACUGUGAUACUUAGACUCAUGUUCUAAAGAUUUUAAGGAGUAAAUGAAUUUGGUCCAGUUACGAGGGUCAUAAAUGGGAGAAUAAUGGAGAUGGGAGCUGGGUGAUAUAUAUCAUAGAGAUUAAAGUUUUUAGAUUACAAAUAAGUAAAGGGUAUUCUUAAAAGAUAAAGAAGAUGAUAUUUUUUUAAGGGUUAAUAGGGUAUAUAUAUUUUCAUACAUAUAUUAUAAGCAUGUAAAAUAUUUAUUGAUUACAUUUUUUAUAGAUUUUUCAGAUCAUUUAUUUAUGACAGACAUAUACUCAUUUAAUAUUUAGUUAAUUAAGACCACACUUUCUUACACAUAUUUUAUAUUAAGAUUAUUAUAACACGCAUAUUUAAAAUUUUAUAAAUUGAAAAUUAUAUUUCAUAAAUUCUAAAAAAAGGCCGAAUGAAUAAUAGAUCAUACUCUAUUUGAGGACAUUCAAUUAAUCUCAAUCAGAUUAUGGAUUCUUGAUUUAAUGUGAUUAAUAGAGUUCGGAUCAAACAUUUUUAAGAUACAGUAAAACUUGUGCAUUAUAUGCUAUCAGCAUAUAAAUCAGACAAUUAGCUUUAUAUUAUUAAACAAUAUAAAUAGAUAUAAAUCAUCAUUCAAAAUAUAAAAUUAUAAAAAUUUAAAACACUUCCUUUUAUGUCUAAACCUCUUAAAUCAUCAUUUUUGACUUGGAUUUUCACAAUAAUUGUCUAGAUAUCAAGCGCAUCAUUUUAUAUAUUUUACAAAGUGAAGUAUUAAGUAAAUCAUUCAACCUUUGUUAUCCGUUUUAAAUUUGUUUAAAAUUAAAAUGUUAAAUUUACUCUAAAUUAUAAAGUAAAUACAAAAAAUAUAUAAAAGGUGGUAAAAAAUUAAUAACUACCUUAUAUCUAAAAAAUAAUAAUAAUAACUAUAUUUAUUGAUAUGUCAAGAAACACAGUAUUACUAUAGCCUAAUCCCAAUUACAUGGUAAAAAAAUUGAAGUAGUCUUUACAUGGAUAUUAUUGCACGUGAGAUGUGAAAAAAAAAAAAUCAAAAGAAAUUUAUUUUAUUGUGAAAUCCAUUAUUAGGUCCGCCAUCUUUUGAAGAAGGGAAAAAAGAAAGGAGAAAGAUUCCAAUCCCAUUACGAGUGGAUGAUGUAUUUAGACUUGUUGACUUUUUACCAGAUUAAAAAAAUAAAAUGCUGACCAUUCCUAUCUCUCUUUGUUCAAUCUUUGAAAGUUGAAAAGGGCUAUGGCUGCAGUCAAAGCAUUGCCACUUCGCAUCAACACAGCAUCUUACUCUCUCUGUGUCUCCAUUCAUAUAUAAUGGAUAGAAACGAGAAAUAUAGUAUUCUCUUCUCUUAGCAGGUUUCAAUAGUUCUAGUUCUGUUAAGAAAUAUUUUAUUAUUAUUGGUCAAAAGCCUUGAUUUUCAUUUUAUUUUCCUAGCUUUUUCUCCAAGUUUUGCAAUUUCGUUGGUCACAUCUUCCAUCAGAAUAAUUUCUUCACUCUCCAGUUCUUGAUUUUUACCUGCAAUUUCAAAUCCUUUACUUUUGUAAUCUAAAACCCAGAAUCAUUUCUGACUGGAUUUGACAGAACCCAGUUGCCUUUAGAUUCUGAUCUCUUUAUCAAUCCUGGUUUUUGUUUGGGUAGUAUCCAUAGUAUAUGAUCUUUCUCAAACUUUGUUCGAUCUUCCAUUAGAGGGAGCUUUAGCUUUACCUCUGUACAAAAACAGAGUUUCUUAGGCAUACACAAGAUUUGGGGUGCUAAGGUAUCGACCGGAAAAAAGAAGGCCAUGGAUGGUUCACAAGGUAGUAGUACUUCAAAUGCACCGGCUCCUUUUCUGAUCAAAACAUAUGAAAUGGUAGAUGAUCCGUCGACUAACUCAGUGGUGUCUUGGAGCAGCAGUGGCUGCAGUUUUGUUGUGUGGAAUCCACCUGAAUUCGCCCAAGAUUUGCUUCCCAGUUACUUCAAGCACAACAAUUUCUCAAGUUUUGUCAGGCAGCUUAAUACUUAUGUAAGUUUCAAUCUUUCUGCAAAUAUGUUUUGUAGAAUUUACAAGGUUAUAUUGAAUUUUCCUUGCUGAAAAUUGACGAUUGUUUCUUGUUUGUUUCUGCUUGAGCAGGGAUUCAGGAAGAUUGAUCCUGAUCAAUGGGAGUUUGCUAAUGAAGAAUUUAAAAGAGGGCAGAGACAUCUGCUAAGCAAUAUUCGCCGACGAAAGCCAAUUCAUAGCCAUUCGAUGCAGAAUCAAGUUAACUCUCCGCUGACAAAAACAGAGAAAAUUGAAUACGAGGAGAAAAUUAAGCAAUUGACAAAAGAUAAGAACUUGCUUCAGCUGCAGCUACAGAGACAUGAAACAGAGAAGCAGGCCUUUGAGUGUCAAAUUAUGCCAUUAGGUGAAAGAUUGAAGCGUUUGGAGAGCAGACAGAAUCAAUUAGUUUCUUUCUUGGCUCAACUUGCAAAGAAACCAGGAUUUGCCUCUAUUCUCAUGCGGCAACCAGAAUACAAUAACAAGAAGAGGAGAUUGCUUGAACUUGAUCACUUAAAUGGCGACUACUACUCGGAAGAGAAGCACAGUUCGCGUUCUUCAAAAGAUUCAACGAUGAAUUUUGAGUUAGUUAAGAAGUUGGAUUCAUCCAUAAAGUGCAUUGAAGAUUUGUUUUAUGGAGCAGGAGAAGCUUUUACUCAAGAUAUGCAUGAUUUCGCCUUAGCAUCACAGCCUUCAGCUAUUGUCGUUAGAGAGCUAAGCACGUCUUCCAUAGAUGGAGAAGCUUGCUCUUCACUGCAUUCUAUGGAGGAUAUUCCUUCAUCUCCUGAGCUACCUCAAUGCAUCAAUCAUGUGAACAGCCCAAAAAUUCAUCCUGAAUUUCCUGUGUUUAAAGCUGUAAAAGAAUCAGAAUUAGAGACAAAAGAUUCAUCUACUCCCACAGGGGCAAAUGAUAAUUUCUGGGAAUAUUUCCUUACUGAGGCUCCUGGUUCUUCAAGCACACAAGAUUUUGAACCUGGGUUCGAGCGAAGAACAAGUGAGGAGAGACUUCGGUGGAGUUUUAACACCAUGAACGAUCUUACCCAACACAUGAAGCACCUUGCACCGGCUGAAAGAGUAUGAGCUCAUUGGGGGUUGAUUCUUGCAACUCUGCUGCUAUUCUUCAUGUUUCUUGUAUACUAAGUUAAAGAUGUAGAAUUCUUCUACUGAUUGUAGAUUACAGAUAGACAAGUUUACUGCAUAUUGAUAGAUUCCGAUUAGUUCUGAUGUUAAGUUUUUGGUAAAUAUGAGAUUGAAACAAAUUUUAGAAGUUGGUAAUUUAAAAGGAAAAUAAAAAAAAAAUGUAGCCUUAACUCAUUUUCAUUUUAAGUAUUUGAAUCUUAAUUCAUAUUAAAAUAAUAUUUUAUAAUAUUUCACCGUUAGUAAAAAAUAAUAAAAUAAUCGUUGCCGUGUGAAUUUAAAAUUAUAAAUUAUAAUUAGAGUUAACAAAUUAAAAAUAUUCUAAAAUUGACACUAUAAUAAUUUUAUUAUAUAAUGAAUUUUGAAAGUUAGGGUUUAUAUUAUAGUGUUAUUAUUUUUUAUUAACUUUUUCUUUAUAAAAAAAUCUUUUUUUUGAAGAAUGUAUAAUUACAUCCUAAAUUAUGAAAAUUAAUAAAAUAUUUUCAGGUAGGAUCCGUUAAUGGAAGUGAGGAAGAUCGUUGAGAAUAUAAAGAUGGAUUAUGGAGCUCUCCAUAUGCCCGGAUGAAGCUAAAACAAGGAGAGGCGAUAUUUCUUUAGUUGGUAAUAAAGUUAAUUUUGUAAUUUAUAAAUUCUCUCUCAUUACCCCGAUACCUCUGUCAUUUAAUCUUGAAAUUAUUAAUUUUUCUUUGAAAUAAAAAAUAAAAAAUAAAAUUUAAUACCUCUCAGACUUAUUUAAAUUCUAUGUAUAAAAAAAUUUUUAUUUUUUCAUAUCAUCUAUUUUUUUAAAAUAAAAAAUUUUUCAUUAAAAAUAAUGAAUUUCUUUUUCAAAAAAAAUUAAUUUAAUUAAAUUUUAUAAAAUUAUUAAUUUCAAACGAAAUGAUUAAAAACUUUUACUUGUUAAUAUUUUUUAUUUUUAAAUAAAAAUAAAUAUAAAAAAUAAGUUAUUUUAUUAAAAAAUAAUUUUAAAUAGAAAUUAUUUCCAUAAUAAACGGGACUAAAACUUAGUAAUUUUUCGUUCAUAAAAUUCUUAAUUUUUUUUAAGAAGCAGCAAAUGAAUAAUUUCUCCCAUAUUACAAUGUAGGCGUGGGAGAUUUUCUUACCAAGAGGAAAAGAAAAACAAAAAAUCAGUCAAUAUUAAAAAUUGGGUGGAGUAGUAAUAAAUCAAAGAAGGAGAAAUAGCUUUCUUUAAAUCUACGCUUUUAACAGUGCCAUUGCCAUAAACCCCCCAACAAAAAUCAACUACCAACACUCCAUAUCUUAUUGUUUUUUGUUUUCAACAUCAGAUCUCGCAACGCAAGUCUCUUGCUAGAAAUUAUAUUGUAGGACACUUUUUCUUGGAUCUUUCGAUCUCUAUCUCACUCUUUUGAAUUUUAUCCACGCCAUUCUUCAGGUCAGUUUAAUGCCUAUAAUUUCUUUCCUAUUCUUUCGAUUUUUAGCUGUUGAUUUAAUUCUAUCCGUUUGGUGUCUGAAAAAACCCUAUUUGUGUUUUCAUUUGUAUACAUGUUGUGUGGUAAUUAUACAUUUCUUGUCUCCGCACUUGACCUUGAAUUCUGAGAAAUUUGGCUGCUUAUUUUUGAAACAGGUCGCAUUUCAAUCGAAUUUCUCUCUUAGUUCCUUGGUCAAACAGUUUGUUGAGUUUGGAGAUUUUGAUUCGGAAAUCAUUUUUUUCCAAAUUUUGUGCAUCUGCUGGCUUCGAAUGAUAUGCCAUUGUGAAAUAGCUGUUUUAACGAUUGAAAUUGGAGGGUGAUGUUUCGCCAUUAGGUAUGUGUGGUGGCUUGAUUUGGGGUACGUAGAUGGCUUUUAGAUAGAGUACGAAGGGAAAUGGUAGAGAGUUGUUCCGAUAAUAAACGAGAGGUUGACUGCACAGCCGUUAAUCACAAUUCCAGUGAAAUUCGGGGUUCUCAUAUUCACAGAGACCCUUCAUUUUCACGCUGGUGCGAUGAAGAUAGGAAUCUUCAUUUUGAACGUCAAUUAGAAAAUUCUGGUGCAAGCGUUGAAGAUUCUGAUUUUGAGUUGCCUUUGCUUCCACAGGAGAGGGUAGAAGAUGGGAGUGUAGGUAUCGAUAUUUAUCAAUAUAAAAAUAAGUUCCAUAACAAAAUUGUGCACUUGAGUGGUAAUAAUACCAUGGAUCAGGAAAUCAAUGUGCAUACCAUGGAUCAUGAAGUCAGUAUACACACAAUGGAUCAUGAAACCAACAUACAUAGCAGAGGGAAAGAAAAAGAUAAUUAUGUGCCAUUUGAUAUUGAAGAUAGAUCUCCCAUGGAGAUGCGUUCAUCAAAUAGCAGUGAUGAUGCAGCUGAUUCUUUUGCCAAUCAUGGGAAGUCGUCACUGAAGUCCAAGGGCCCUGUAUCUUGUGCCGAUGUGUUGAAGACUUUGUUUUUUAUACUUGUUUGGUACACUUUCAGCACAUUUUUGACCUUGUAAGUUCAUAUUUCACUUAAAUAAGCAUGAGAUGCUUGAUGAUUCCUCCAUGUUUCAAGUCACAUAUAUUUAUUUCCAUUUUCCCCUUCUUGGUAUUCUUUGGUUUUUGUAGAUACAAUAAAACUCUCUUAGGGGAUGACUUGGGAAAAUUCCCUGGUCCAUUGCUGAUGAAUACUGUCCAUUUUUCCAUGCAAGCUGUUCUAUCAAACUGCAUCACAUGGUUUUGGUCUCAUAGAUUUCAUCUCACUGUUUCUAUGACAUGGAGGGAUUAUUUUAUGAGAGGUAAGAUAGUACGUUAAUAUUCUUUUUUGUUUUAUUUUUGUAACUCAUUGAUUGUUUUUCCACAUUCCAAACAAAAGGCAAUGCUUUUUCUUUAAUUGCAUUUUUAAAAAAAAAAUUUGUGUGCAAGCUUUGAAAAUGAAGAACACGGGCUUCAGCUUCUGUAAUCUAGGAGAUGGGGUUGAACCUCAAGUAACAAGUUUUCUGUCUAGUAUUGUAGUUUGAAAAUGCUAAGGAUAUGUAUGCUCCCUUUUCAUCUCUAUUGAGAAAAAAUAAUUAUUGUGGCACAUUACUCUUAUAGGGAUUCCAUAUUUUUGGUCUUAAAGUUGUCCUUAAAUAAGAAAAGUUAGAUGUAAAAGGAAGUGUAGUGCCUUAACUUUUUGUUGUGAUCAUACCUUAUGGAACAAGGUGAUAACAGAAAUGGGAAUCCUUUUGGUUUUUCUUUGUAACAUAAACAAGUUACAUCAAUGAAUAAAUGCUACAUAACUUUCAAGGUCUAGAGAAAAAUUAUAAUGGCACAGUAAGCAUUGUAGAUUAUUCUUCUGUCUUGUGAAAACAUUAUUAGGGAACUUUAACUUAAACAUUAUCAGGAAACUUGGAUAUAAGGCUUGCUAAAAAUAUUUUUCCUCAUUUUUUAUAGAUGUCCUUAGAUACAUCCUAACGUCUGGGCUUUGCAAGGUCCCAUCCCCAGUAUCAUUGUCUGUCUUUGGUCCUUGAACUUCCAUUAUAUAACAGCCUGUACUAGAAGGGAAUCUAGUAAAAUGGGCAUGUGAAUUUCUUUCACGUGACUGGUUUCUUGGUUGAACAUGUGUGAGAUAGUCUAAGAGCUUGUAAAAUCUAAUGAUUAUUCUUGGUUCUUAUUCUUCAUUGGUACUAAUUUUAAGUAUUUUAAACUAAUGAUUUUUCACUUCCAUAUCUUUUUCGGUGGAAUUCUAUAUAACUUCUUUAAUUAACUUUUCUAUCAACUAAUGCUACAGAUGGACUUUCCCUUUCACAGUUGUACCAACAGCUCUUGGAACAGCAUUUGACGUUAACCUGAGCAAUGCAUCCCUUGUUUUGGUCUCUGUCACAUUUGCAACAAUGGUUUGUUCUGUUCCCCAUAUCUUGCUGGAUAUACCGGGCCAUCUGGAAUUUCUUUAUUCAUAAAUGGUGCAGCUGUUUUUGCUUAUACAGUAUUAUCUUUUAAGACUUCAAUUAUUUUUUUUUCUACAGUGUAAAUCUGCAUCUCCUAUAUUUCUUCUCCUAUUUGCUUUUGCAUUCAGGUGAAUAUCUUGCUGACUGAUCUUCUUCUUCAAUUUUGUAACUUCUGUAUUGUUGAGAUGCAUGUGUUCUAUCCUGCAUUUGUGCUUUUUCAACCCUUGUAAUGCAUGUGCCAUCUUACGAUGUUCUUUUAGUAGCUUUAUAAAGUUUAACUAUAUUGUUUCUUACUGAUUAUGAAGCUUAUUUAUUUCAAGGUUAAUGAAACCAUGAUGGAUGAUACAUUACAUAUGCUGUAAGGACCGAAACUUUACUUUGAAAAGUAACCCUGGGUAUUUUUGUAGUGCUAAAUUAUUUGGGAUUUUCAAGCUCUCCUACCCUCUUAUCCUUGCUUUUGCAGUAAAUUAAGACUUCUUUUCUAUAAGACCUUUUGGGUAAAUCAUCAUGUGGUUUUGCACCAUUGCAUUUCAGGUUGCUUGUGUUUUAUAAUUUUGGGUUUUGUGCUUUUAGCACUCAACUUGUGUUUUCUUGCUCUUUUUUGUCUUUAACGUGCAUGUAUUGUGGGGCAUGGAAAUAUUAAACUGUUUUAAUCCAGGUGUCUAGUUUGCUGUAUGCCCCCCAUUUUUUUGUCUUUUAAUCAGAAUUAAUUAUUUAAUUCAAUUUAACACGUCUGCCACUUAGUUUCGAACUUUGCUUUUGAAGGUUGGAGUCUCCAAGCAUUAAACUUUUAGGUAUCAUCAUAAUAAUCUGUGUUGGAAUUUUAUUGACAGGUAAGCAUCUUCAUCGUUUUUCAUUCUAAAAAUUAAUUGAUUAUUUGAUUAUGCAUUGCUUUUACUUCCCACUUAUCAUUUCAGAUUAGAAGUUUAGAACUUAGAAUAAUCACUCAGCUUUAAUGUUGAGAAAACGUUCAUAUAACAUUAGAUGUUUUUUGUUAUUUAUGCAUAACUGUUAGUUGGACUUGGAUCUAAUAUAACUUAUAUUCAUAUAUUCAUAUAACUUAAAAUUCAUUUAUUCAUUAUAACUUGUAUUUCUCUGCAUUUUGUGUCCUUCUUGGUUUGCUUGUUUAGUCCCUUCGGUGCAUUGUCAUUAACAAACUAUUGUUUGGUUGUGCCAUUUUGGGAUUUGCUCUGAUCAAAGCUAUUGCAUUGUUUGCAUUAGUGAUGGCGUGCAUUCUAUAUCAUAUGUGAAAGUCCUUUUUGCUAAGAAGUUAUGCUAAACUGUUGUACAACUUAUACAUUGGCACACAUGUCUUGCCCUGUAAAUUUAUGACAUAUCCCACCUCUUAGUAUGUGUAUCUCAUAAUGACCAGAUGUAAACUUCCAAUAGUUAGGAAUAUCUUAUCAAUAAUUUUAUAGUAAUGGGGCACAUAAUUUUGGAGGAUGUAUUAUCGCGUGGGGAGACGUAUUUUUUGCAACAUUUAUUGAUAAAGUAAUUCAUUUGUAUGACAGUAUCCACAUUCUAUUAGGCAUCAAGUUAACAACUGAAUUUUGAUGCAAGUCAAUUUGUAUAGGCAUCAACUGAAAGAAGGAAAUUAAAAUUUUCUGUUCUGAUAAUGCAACUCUUAUACUCUGCAGAUGUAUAUUCCCAUAUCCUAGAAUUUAAAUUCAGAUCAUGUUUAACACCUGGACACUGUUUUAUCCAAUACUCCUAUAUAAGCGUAUACUAUAACAACGACAAAAAAAAAAAAAAUAGUAACAACAAUAUUGUUUCCUUGCCUCCUAUAUUUAAGGAUGCCAGUUUCCAUCACUAAAAUUUAUAUGACUAAAUUUUGUCUGUUCCAGAUCUCAAGCAUUCAUUUUCUCUAGUAUUUGUCGUUUAAAAUUUUUCGGGCAUGCUUGUAUGUUUUUACAUUUGACUUAAUUAAUUGUUUAUCCAGUGGCAAAGGAGGCAGAAUUUGAAUUUUGGGGAUUUAUUUUUGUUAUGCUUUCUGCUGUUAUGUCUGGGUUUCGCUGGUGUAUGACUCAAAUUCUUCUGCAGGUAUGAUCUGGUUACUAUUUUUAUAAUAUUAUGGAACCUUAAGUAUAAUUAGUGAUACAUAAUUGGUAACCUUUAAUAGACAAUAGAGUUUUUUUUUAACUCUCUCACACUCUCUGAUUUUGUUUUUGUUUCUUCUUCCUCUUGGAAUUUGAUUUCCCAAUUUGGUGAUGCAUGGCAAUCCAAACUGACAUAAAGAAAGAAGAAUAUGGUAGGCAUUUUUUUUGUUCCUCUUAUUUUCAGUUCAGCAAUUUCCCAUGCUGUUAGCUAUUAUUUAUAUGCUUUUGAAAUGUGUUUACAAGAAAUGAUUCCAUAUUUGUUGGUUUUAAAGAUGAGGUUGCAAAGACUGAUAUUUGUGAUGCCAUUAAUUUGCCGUGAAAAGGUAAGUUAUGCGAGCAGGGCAAUAUACUUGGUUAAUAUGUGCCAAGAAAGGAUUAAUCUAUCUUCACAAUCUAAAUAAUACAACUUUUUGGUUUUCUCAUUUCUUAAUUGCCCUUGUCGUUGAUGUCGAGUAGGAUGAUUGAUAGGGUGGGUCGAAGGGAUUUGAUUCAUGGUGUCAAUCCAAUUUAUUUGUUAACUUCUACCCUUGAUCAACAUUAUUCUUAUCUAAAGUGGAACUAGGAUACAGGUGUAGGCUAAGUAAAUCAAUGGAUAGUUUCAAAUCUUUUGAAAAUACCGGUAUAAGUGAAGAUCCAGUUCUAAAUGAUACAGAAAACACUCAUGGUUGGAGUAAUAGUGACAGCUCUAGUUAAAGCCAUGUUGAUCAUUUAGUCAGCGUUAGGGACAUUCAGAAUUUCAACACCGAUGAAACUUUUUAGUUAGGGAUAGUAUUGGGGACAAUUAUUCCAUAAAUUGAUAUUCAAAAUAAUGUUUUUGAUAUUUACAAUUUCCAUUCUUUUUUGAGUGAACUAAAAAAUAUUGUUGCUUGGGGUGUCGAUUGAGUUUUAUAUUGUAAUUUGUAAUGCAACAUUAAGGUGCUUCUUUUUGGUUCCCUUUCAGGUUUGAAAAAUCCACUUACAUUGAUGAGCUAUGUGACUCCAGUGAUGGCAAUUGCAACUGCUCUUCUAUCUCUUAUAUUUGAUCCGUGGUAUGAAUUUAAAAAGAGUAGUUACUUUGAUAAUUCUUGGCAUAUUGCUCGGAGCUGCUUGUUGAUGUUUUUUGGUGGAGCACUGGCCUUUUUCAUGGUAUGAAUCUAGGUCAAAAAAAUUUUCUCUGUCCAUCUAUCUUUCCUUUUUAUCUUUAUUAUUUUUUUUAUGAGUGUGGACUCGGUAGUUUGAAUUUUAUGAAGUUGUUGAAGAAUGAAGAUUAGAUUUUCUUUUGAUAUUCAUUUCAUGUUGGCAUGCUCCAAAAACGGGAGUGCUAAGAUGGAUGAGUGGAAAUAUAUAAGCGACAAAUGCAUUCAUAGGAACAUAGAAGUAGUGAGGAAAUUUGAGGAGAGGAUAUUGAGGUCACUGGUCAUUGUUGACUAGCAAUUGUGCUAGUGAGAAAAGAUGGGAUAUUGAAGUUGUAUUGGAAAAGAAAAGGCAGACUUCAGAUGAUGCUAGGAGCAGUGGAAAAUUAUUUAGUAAUCCUAACUUCUGAAGAUGUAUCCUUAAACUGACUGUGGUGGAGGAAAAAAAAAUCCAUACAGGCUUACUCCAAAUAUUUUGAGGUUGGAUUUAGUUGAGUUGAUAUCAGUAAGUUGUGUUUUUUCUUGUUCUAAGAUUAUGUCAUUGAAGAAAUUAAAAUAUUUCUUUGACGUUGCAGGUUUUAACAGAAUUUGUCCUUGUUUCAGUAACUAGUGCUGUCACUGUUACUAUUGCUGGUGUUGUCAAGGAGGCAGUCACCAUAUUGGUAUAAGCUCUUUACUACAUUACUGGUCUCUUCCUUGAUUCAUGCAAAAAAUGUUUGCCUACCAAAAAACAUAAGUGUGGUCCUUUCUUCUUGUUAUUUCCCAUUAGAAUUUGUUUCUUAAUCCUGCAGUGUAACCUUGGACUUAGAUGUUAAUUGCGUUCUUUUUCUGCUUAAACUCUUUUAAUACUUUAUGCUCAUUACUCUGCCAUGUUUUAAGAAAUCCUUAAUGUUUGUCAGUUUUGUUAAUAACUGCUUAUUAGGUGGCUGCUAAUGCCUAACACUUGCUAAUAGUCAUUCACAUGUUUAUUGUGCAUAUCAGGUUGCUGUCUUUUACUUCCAUGACGAAUUUACAUGGCUUAAAGGUCUUGGCCUUUUAAUCAUAAUGGUGGGCGUGAGUUUAUUCAACUGGUACAAGUAAGUCAUCAAUCAGUGUAGUCUGAAAUGAUCUGGUAUAUCUUAUAAAUUGCCAAUUUCUCCCAUAGUCAAGUUAAGUUGUUUCUAUAUUUGCAUUUCUUGGUCUUCGGCAGUUGAUUUUGUUCCUGACCCUUUUUUUUGCAUUCUUCAAGUUAAGUGGUUUUCUUGGUUCUUUAAUAUGCACUUGACUUUUUGAAAUUAACUUAAAAGUUAAACAGUUGCAUUAAUGUUAAACAUGCAAUUUGAACUAAGUGCGAAAUCUGAAUUUUCUAGGUCAGGUCAAUUUAGGUUCGUUGGGCCAUUUGACAUUUUUUGAGUGCCCUUAGUACUGGUUUCCAUACAAACUGGUGAAGCCUAGGGAUGUCAGGCGGGCGGGUUUUUACGGGUACCCGAUCCGUCCAAACCCUAUUAGGACGGAUUUGGGUUUUUACAAAACGGAUUUGGGCGGAUUCGGAUUUAAAAAAUUUUACCCGUUUCGAAUUCGAGUAGGGUUAGAUAAUCGGAUACCCGUUACCCAAACCCGAUUACCUAUAUUAACAAACUAACCCUAAUUUUCUUUUUCAUUUUACUCUUUUCUCUCUCCGUCGGCGCCUCUCUCCCUUGCUCGUCGAUGCCUCUCGCGUUCCUUUCCUCUCGCGCCUCUCUCCCUCGCGUCCCUUUCCUCUCUUCGUCGACGCCACCGGCUACGUCUCCUUUCUCUCCCCGAUAAAUCUUCUCUCUCCACAGUGCGAUAUCUCCUUCUCUCUCUCCCGUCGGUGACAUCUCCCACUUCCCAGUCAAGGCCUCUCUCCCCCACUUCACUGACGAGUGCCGGCAAUCGGCACCGGCGACGUCUCCUUUCUCUCCCCAGUCGACAAUAAAUCUUCUCUCUCCCCGGUCAGCGAUAUCUCUUCUCUCUCUCCAGCGGCGGCAUCUCCGGCUAGUAAGUGGGAGACAACUCUUCCCUCUCCUUCUACUGCUAUUUCUUGUCAUUGAACAUUUCUCCUUCUACUCCUUCUACUGCUGGGUUUGCUGGGUUUGCUGGGUUUGCUGGUUUGCUGGUUUGCUGGUUUGCUGGGUUUGCUGGGUUGAUGGGUUGCUGGGUUUGUUGGGUUUGCUGGGUUUGCUGGGUUUGCUAGGUUUGCUAGGUUUGCUAGGUUUGCUGUUUCUUGUCAUUGAAUUGAUUGUAUUUGAUUAAUGUAAUACUGUUGAUUUUUAGAAUUUAUGAACAAUUAAUGGUUAUAAAUCAUUAUUUGCUGGGUUGCUGCUGAGUUGCUGGUUCUUGUCAUUGAACAUUUCUUCUUUAUCUGCUGGGUUGUGCAAAUGUUAAAGAAGUUUAUUUGCUAGUUUAUUGAAUUUAAAAUAUCGGGUUCGGGUAUUGUGCGGGUAUUGUUAAACGGAUUUGGGACGGGUUCGGAUAAUAAAAUUAAAAUAUUAAACGGGUUUGGGACGGGUUUGGAAAUUGUAUAUAUAAUCGGAUUCGGGUUUGGAUACUCUCAAUUUUGCGGGUACCCUACCCGUUUACAUCCCUAGUGAAGCCAAUUAUUUGCAUAGACAAUUUGUUCAUGAGAUGCUUUUUUUUACUUCGCAAAAGUAAACUGACCAUACAUUAUCUCUUAUACAAUGAUUAAAUCAGUUGAGUGGAAAACCUUGAUCUAUUUGAAGUUUGAUUCUGACUGAUGGAACCCAUUUUAACCUUGCAUGAAAAAGGUGUGGAAGGUGGCUCCUGAUCAUUAUUAAACAACCAAAUCUCAUUUAAUGUUGUGGAACAUUGAAGCAACAGAUAAACUAUAUGCUGCAGAUUUGACUCCUAAAUUUGACUUGGUCUUUGGAGAUUGUAUUAACCAAUAGUCAUACUUCAGAUUAGCAACCUUCAGUUUCUAUUCAAGCAGUGCAAAUUUAGACUGGUUAACUAUAUUACAGUACCUGACCGGACUACUCGUAAUACUAGUUUCAUGCUUAUUCAGGUAUGAUAAGCUACAAAAGCAUCAAAUGAGUGAAGAUGACUUGGUUGGGUCACCUACAACAAAUUUUGCUGCAAAAUAUGUCAUACUGGAGGAAAUGGGUGAUGAAAAUGACGUGAGUUAGAGCUUUUGUAUUAUUGAGUAAGCCUCUUGCAGUUCUUUGAUGGAUAUUGUGACUCUGCAUUUUGCUUCUUCAAGCUUAUUAAAACUUCUCAUCUGCGUUAGCUUUUAUUACUUGCAUGCUGUUUGCGUUGUUUUGAUAUUUGAAGACCUAAAAGAUGCUGUUGAAAUUUAGGUCGUUGGUUGUUGGAGAAGCGUGUGAUGAGUGCUGCUGUCAAGGGGCAACUAAUUAUGUAUUUGCAGAUUUCUUCAGUCAAUUGCUCUUUUACUUGUACUUUUAUCAAAUGAUUGUGGAUUAUGAAAUUUUGGGACGUAAUAACAGUCCAGAUUUAUUACUCAAGACUUUUUCCUUAGGCAUGAUUGUAGAAGAGCAUGUUUAUUUUUAUCCAAAGUUUUCUCAAAAUUUGAGUAGUAGAGGAUAUUUUUUACUUCCAAAGUUACACUUCUGUAAUACUUGGUUGAUUCAAUUGAGGGUGCUGCGGUCCCCACCAAUCUUACCUAUGUUGUUUACACAUAGGAUGUAUCUUUAUUUGGAUUUUGCUGUUCUCGGGAGGAACAGUUUUUAUGCUGUGUUGUUUAACUUUUGUAAAUGCAGUAUUCCUGAAUCAUCGUAAUCGUCAGCUUAGGCUGUUUUCCUGUUCUGCUUUUCCUUUUAGUCUGCUCCAUCCCUUGUAUAACCAAGUUUUUGAAAAAAAAUAAAGAUUGAAAUGCCACCCCCUCAGCGUACUGCACUUUUUUAUCCGUCUCAAAAUCAAGUUGUUUUUUUGAGAUUGUUAUUUACUUUUUAGUUUAUUAAUAUACUUCUAUUUAAAUAUAUAUUUUUAAAAAAAUACAUUAGUUUUAAGAAUGAUCAAUAAUGAGUUAAUUAAAAUUUUAAUGUGUAGAGUAUAAUAGAAAAGAAUUAAAAUUCAAAUUUGUUUCAUAUAUACAUAUAACUUUAUGGGAUACAGUAUGAAAAGUAUCUAAAAAAGGGUCUUUGGCUUAAAAAUGAAAAAGCCGCGAUAAAUAGCAUAUGCAAAGAUUUGCUGGAUUUGGGGCAUGCGGAUUGUGCAUCAUUUUUUCCUACCCUUGAUCGAGUAACAGAGGGCGGCCUUUCUUUGAACAUAAUGAUUUCGUCAACUGUAUAGCUGUCUGGUUGAGUCAUUCAUAUCCAUUGUACUUGUCGGAUACGCGGCUUUAUUAAUUCAGCCAGUAGGCCGCGCUAUUAUUAUUUUUAUUUAUAUUUUUCUAAAAUUUUAUUUAUUUCUUAUAUGGUCAAGUCUGUACCAAAAUUUGGAGAUUAUUAAAAAGAAAUAUAUUUUUAAACCUUGACUAUUAGGAGAGAGAUGACAAUAUUCUUUGUCUUUAAAAGUUUGAUUAAUAGGAAAUUUUUAUAGUACUUUUAUUUCUAUGAAGUUAAUCUUAUUUUAUUAGUACUUAUUGGUGGAUGAUUUAUAAGAAAAAUAUAAUUCAUGGUGAAAUAGAGAUAAUAAAAAAGAAAAAGGAAAAUAAAAUCAAAAUUUUUCGUAUUAGUUUUUCUAUUGCAAAGGAGGUCCUACUUGCUUGGAUUUGGUAAGGAUAAAACAAAGCGGGAUCCACACUAUUGGAAUUAUUGAUCGAAGGGGAGGAAGAUAAAAAAGGUAGAUGAUGGUUGACCGUUUACUUGGAACCAACUUGGAGCCAACUUGGAGCCAAUUGGAAGGAACAAAACAACAGGCAACAGCAUUGAAACUUCUCAACGUAUAUCCCACAUCAUUAGUUUUCUAAUUAAUUUGAACCUGCCUCGCCUUCUAUUCUCCUGUCUUCUUCGAUGGGCUUUUCCUGGACAAGGUCCUUUCUCCUUUGCUUUCUUGUGCUUCUCCAUUAUGUUUACUUCCCAAAUGCUGAAACUUUCGAUUACCCAACUGCAAAUCUCUCUACUUCAUGGACAAACAGCCCCUCUCUUCCCCAUUCUGUAAAUUUCACCGAUAGAUCGAUGGUUAGAGCCAUCCUUCUCAGGGGAACCUUUGGUCCAAGGUUUGCUUGCGGUUUCUUCUGCAAUGGAACCUGCGACUCUUACCUCUUUGCCAUUUUCAUUGUUCAGACCAAUAGUGUAUCAUAUAUAACGUCCCCUGCUAUUGGUUUCCCUCAAGUAGUUUGGUCUGCCAACAGAAACAAUCCUGUCGGAAUCAAUUCGACAUUGCAGCUCACAUCAGAUGGAGAUUUUAUCUUAAAAGAUGCUGAUGGAACUGUGGCUUGGUCCACGAAUACUAGUGGCAAAUCUGUUGCUGGCUUAAACUUGACUGAUAUGGGCAAUCUUGUGCUUUUUGAUCAUAAUAAUGCUACAGUGUGGCAAUCUUUUGAUCACCCAACUGAUUCUUUGGUUCCGGGGCAAAAGUUGGUGGCAGGGAAGAAACUUGUUCCUAGUAUUUCUCUGACAAAUUGGACUCAACUUAAUUUGCUUUCAUUUUCUGUCACUGAUGAAGGAUCUUUUGCUUCGGUUGAGUCUAGUCCACCUCAGCUCUACUAUGAAUCCAGAGUUAAUGACAGAACAACGAAUAGAGAGCCAACCUAUGUCACUCUUCAGAAUGGAAGCUUUGCUUUGUUCAGCAAUUCAUCUAAGGCAAGUGAGCCAGAUACCUUCAAGCCCAUUCCAAAAGCCUCAUCAGUACAGUAUGCGAGGUUUGGUCCUGACGGGCAUUUGAGACUUUACGAGUGGACAACAGAUGGGUGGACACAAGUUGACGAUCUGCUUUCAUCUCCAGGGUAUGAAUGUUUCUAUCCUACAGUUUGUGGGAACUAUGGAAUUUGCUCCAAUGGGCAGUGCAGUUGUCCUACAACAACUUAUUUCAAGCAAAUAAAUGAUAGGCGUCCUGAUAUUGGGUGUUCUGAAAUUACUCCCUUGUCUUGUCAAGCUUCUCCAAAUCACAGUCUUAUAGAGUUUAGGGAUACAACAUAUUUCUCAGUUUCCAGUGACCUCCAAAAUGUGGAUUUGGAAAAAUGCAAGGAGGCUUGUUCUAAGAAUUGCUCCUGCAAAGCAGCUAUUUUUCGAUAUGGUUCUGAUUCUGCCAAAGGUUCUUGCUACUUGCCAAAUCAGGUAUUUUCAUUGAUAAACAAUGACAAGGAAAGAACUCAUUAUAAUUCUACUGUAUUCUUGAAGGUGCAAAAUGCCCCAUCCCCACCUGCAGAAGCUAUAGCUCCUCAGCAGAAAAGAAAAAGCCGGUCGACAGUUAUAUUAUGGUCCAGCCUUGGAACAGUUUCUGGUUUGUUUCUUGUGAUUGGAAUCAUAGUGUUAUUAGUUUGGAAGAAAAGAAAUGCAGAUAUAGAUGAGGAAGAUUACUUGGAUCAAGUACCAGGCAUGCCCACUCGAUUUUCCUACGAAAAUUUAAAAGCUUUGACAGAUAACUUCUCCAAGAUUCUAGGUGAGGGGGGAUUUGGUUCAGUUUUUGAAGGGACUCUAAUUGAUGGCACCAAAAUUGCAGUGAAGCGUCUCAAUGGUGUAGGCCAAAUCAAAAAAUCAUUCUUGGCUGAGGUUGAGUCAAUUGGCAGCAUCCACCAUGUGAACUUGGUAAGGCUGCUUGGUUUUUGUGCUGAUAAAUCCCACAGGCUUCUUGUUUACGAGUUCAUGUCUAAUGGGUCCUUGGAGAAAUGGAUCUUCCAUCAAACCCAUGAAUCUGCUCUUUCCUGGCAACAGAGAAAGAAGAUCAUCCUCGACAUAGCGAAGGGACUCACCUAUCUUCAUGAAGAUUGCACACAAAAGAUAAUCCAUUUAGACAUUAAACCCCAAAACAUUCUCUUAGACAAUAAGUUCAACGCGAAAAUCUCAGAUUUCGGAUUGUCUAAACUGAUUGAUAGAGACCAAAGCAAAGUUGUGACAACCAUGAGAGGCACUCCAGGAUAUUUGGCUCCAGAAUGGCUGAGCUCAGUAAUCACAGAAAAGGCAGACGUCUAUAGCUUUGGGGUGGUUGUCCUAGAACUCGUAUGUGGAAGAAGAAACGUCGAUCACUCGCAGCCAGAAGAACAAAUGUACCUAAUAAGCCUUUUUGAGAAGAAAGCAGAAGAGGAUCUAUUGUUUGAUCUAGUUUAUAAUUGCAGUGAAGAGAUGCAGUUGCACAAAGCAGAAAUAUUGAAGAUGAUGAAAGUUGCUGCUUGGUGUUUGCAAAAGGAUCAUGCAAUGAGGCCUUCCAUGUCAAUGGUGGUGAAAGUUUUGGAAGGUGUUAGAGAAGUUGAACCUAAUGUAGACUAUAACAUUUCUAAUUCAUCAAUCUCAACAUCCUCAACACAAGUUACUGAGUUGUUGCCCUUUCUUCUAUCUGGGCCAAGGUGAGUGUUCAUUGUUAAUUUUGUUCAGUUGUGCUUUCUGCUGUUUGAGCUUGUAUGGAAGAGAACUACACAUGUGAAAUUAGUCAUUCCAGUUGAUGGAAUAAUGGAAUGUUCUCUUCUAGUCUUUUCUUUCUAAUGAUAGAAUAAGUGAAGUCUAUUUGAAUUUCCCAUAUCAAACUCAAAUUUUUCUUAGUUAUUCAUUUGAUAGAAUUUCAAUGUUGUAUCUAUUUUAAUUUAAAGGAAGAUUCAUAGAUGAAAUACAGAGAUUUGCUCCUCCAUCUUCUUCCUACUUCCAAAAUCCCAAGAACACAGAACUCCAAGGAGUAAGCACAAACCCAUGAAACCAAACUAAGGGGAAUUCUCAGUAAUUGUGAAGGAGGAAUGCUAUUGCCACCACGGAUAAUAUGGAUGAUUUUAAGAUCUAUGGUAAAUAUUACUCUAUCACCAUUAAAUAUUACUCAUAAAUUAUAAUUUACUUCUUAAUAUUAAGUAAAAGAUAUAUUUUAGACCUUAUUUUUUUAAAAUUUAGUCUUUCUGAUUUUAUUUAUUAAUAAAAUAGUUCUUUAAUUUAAAAUUUAUAUUUUAAUUAAAAUUAAUUUCAAUAUUUUUAUCUAUUAUAUUUGCAAAUUAAUUUUUCUAUUUAUUAAAUUUUAAUAUUUUAUAUAUGAAAAAAUAAAAUUAAAUAAAAAAUUUAUCUUUUUUUCUAAUUAAAUAAAAAAAUCAUUGAUAAGAGAAAAGUUAAAUAAGAAUAAAAUUUAUUAGGUUUGAAAUUUAGAUGCAUGCUAAAAUUCUUGUUUUAAUUUUUAUUUUGUUAAUUUAUUGUUAAAUAUAUAAGAUAUUAAAUUUAAUAAAAAUGAAAGAUUACUUAUUUGUAAGUAAUUAUAUUAUUUAGAAUUAAUUUAUAAAAAUAUAAGGAUGAAUUAUAAUUAAAGAAAUUAUUUUAUUAUAAAAUAAAAUUUAGAGAUUUGUGGAUUAAAUUAUAUUUUUUUAUAAAAAAUUUUAAUGAUUGAAAUGUAAUUUACUUUAAUUAUAAAUUAUUUUUAUUUAAUUUUUAAAGUUAUAUAAAGAUUUAUUAAUGGUGUUAGAAAAAAAGUUUAUUUUAUUAACGAAUUAAAUUAUAGAAUUGUAUUUAAAAAAAUGUUAAAUCAGAUGAUAAUUUUUUAUAAUUAUCCUUUAAUUAAAUUAUAAUUAAUUAAGCAUAAUUGUAUAUUUAAAUUUAUAAUUAUCUUUUAAUUAAAUUAUAAUUAAUUAAGCAUAAUUUGUUCAGAUAGAAAUUGACAAAUUUGAACGCAAUAACAAUAAGAAAAAUUUAUCAAAUUCAGUUAGGGCAUAGUUGCAGAAAAAGAAAAUGGCAUAAGAGCAAACAUAAGAGAAAAUGGCAUAAAUUGGUUAUUAUACUCGUAUUUAGUUUUAUUUUAUUUUUAAAAUAAUUUUAAAUUAUUUUUCUAAAUUAAUAUUUAAUAAAAUUUAAUGUAUUUAUAAAAAAUAUAAUUAAAAAAUUAAUAAAAAAAAUAUUUUUAUUAAUACGUAUGAAAAAUGGAAAGAGCCACCGCUAUUGGAUGGCUGAGAGGAAGAAAAGUGAUUUUGAAAGAGGGUAAGUUAAUAUUUUUAUGAUAACUUAAUAGCCAAACGCGUUAAAAGUUUGAUUUGUAGGGACUUUAAUGUUAUUAUUAAAAAUACAGGGAUGAGUUCAUAAACAAUGACAAAUACUCUCUUUGGUCAAAAGUCAAAACCUUUAAAAAACCCUAGCUCUCCUUCUCUCUAGUUAUGCAUGAAAAGCUCUCCUCAUCUUCAUCUGCUUCUAUGAAAAGCUCUCAACUUCCAUGUGGGUUUCGUCUUUCAGGUCAGUGUUUAAUCUUAACAGAAAACUCCUGACCCCUAAACCCAUCUCUAUUCCAGUUCUUCCCUUCAAUUCCAAAUCUUUCUCAAUUGCUCCCUUGAUCGGUAAUUCAACCACCGCCGAUAGCGACAUCGACGGCGACCAGCUACAACAUCUGGAUUCAUUCGAGGCUGUUGAUAUCUUAUACAGCCUUAAGGAACAGCCGGAUCGUGCUUUCUCCUUCUUUUGCAAAUUGAAGGACUUGGGCUUCCAACAUGACGUCUCUUCAUAUGCUGCCGUUAUUAGAAUUCUCUGUUAUGGGGGUCUCGACAGGAACCUCCAUUUAAUUUUCUCUGAUCUUAUUCUGGAUUCUCGCAAUGGUAAUGGUGCUUCUUUUGAUGUUUCACGUUUGCUUGAUACGCUCAGUGAAGGGGUUGCUGAUGACGCUAAACAACACUCAUCAUUUCUUUUUAAAGUAUAUGAUGCCUUGAUUAAGUCCUAUGUUAGUGCUGGUAUGUUUAAUGAGGCUAUUGAUGCUUUGUUCCAAAUGGGUAGGCGUGGAUUCGUGCCCCAUAUAUUCACCUGUAACGUUCUUAUGAACAAAUUGAUUCAGAAUGGUAAAAUCGAUAUGGCUUUGGCCAUUUACAAACAGUUGAAGAGGAUGGGUUUGAGCCCUAAUGAUUACACCUAUGCCACUGUGAUAAAGGCAUUUUGCAUUAAGGGUAGUUUAGAAGAGGCUGCGGAUGUCUUUACGGAUAUUGAGGAAGAUGGUGCUACCACCAUUUAUUUUGCUUACACAGCUUAUAUAGAAGGACUUUGUGUGAAUCAGAAGUCGGACUUGGGCUAUCAGGUGCUUCAAGCAUGGAAAGCAGCCAACAUCCCCUUUGAUAUAUAUGUUUAUGCAGUUGCAAUUCGUGGCUUUUGCAAUGAGAUGAAAUUGGACAAAGCAGAAGGAGUCUUACUUGACAUGGAAAAAGAAGGGUUAGUUCCAAAUAUGUAUUGCUACAAUGCACUGAUUUGUGGGUUGUGCAAGGGUGGGAGAUUGCUAAAAGCAUAUGCUCUCCUCAAUGACAUGAUGUCUAAGGGUGUCGAAAUAUUUUGUGUGGCUGUUGGUUCAAUUCUUCAAUGCUUGUGUGAAAUGGGCAUGCAUUCUGAAGUGUUGGAUCAAUUUAAUGAAUUUAAGAACUUAGGUAUAUUUCUAGAUGAGGUUUCCUACAACAUUGCAGUUGAUGCUUUGUGCAAACUGGGAAAACUAGAAGAAGCUGUAGCAUUGCUAGAUGAAAUGAAGGUCAAGCAAAUGGAUAUGGAUAUUAUGCAUUAUACGACUCUAAUUAAUGGGUAUUGUUGCCACGGAAAUCUGGUUGAUGCAUGCAAGGUAUUUGAGGAAAUGAUAGAGAAGGGUUUGAAGCCAGAUAUUAUCACUUACAAUGUACUUGCUAGUGGAUUUUGUAGACAAGGCCUUGCAACUGAGGCACUUAACCUUUUGGAUCAUAUGGAAACGCAGGAUCUGAAACCUAGUACUAUUACACAUAAUGUAGUAAUUGAAAGUUUAUGUGAAGGAGGGAGAGUGAAAGAAGCUGAAGCAUUUUUUAAUUGUAUAAAGGAUAAGAGUUUAGAUAAUUAUGCUGCCAUGAUUAAUGGAUACUGUAAAGCCAGCCAUACUAGAGAGGCUUACAAGCUUUUCAUUAAACUUUCAGGACAGGGACAUAUAGUGAAGAAAAGUUGCUGCUACAAUCUUAUCAAAAACCUGUGUGUGGAAGGUGAUAAUGAUAGAAUUCUCAUGCUGCUAAAGAAAAUGUUGGAUUUAAAUGUCGUACCUAGCAAAGUUAUGUACAGUAGAAUCAUUGCUACUCUGUGUCGGAUUGGGGAUGUGAAAAAUGCAGAGUCAGUUUUUGACAUCAUGUCUGCAAAAGGGUUGACUCCUGACAUCUUCACCUACACAAUUAUGAUGAAUGGUUACUGCAGGAUGAAUUGCUUGCAGGAAGCCCGUGAUCUUUUUCAUGAUAUGAAACGAAGAGGAAUUAAACCUGAUCUGGUUACUUUUACAGUUUUGCUCGAUGCUCAUCAGAAAGCAUAUAUAAGGAAGGUGCGUUCCCAAGCCAGUCCUAAGGGAAGCAAUAAAGACAUGUUUGAUGCUUCAUCUGUUUGGACAGAAAUGAAGAAUACGGGGAUCAGACCUGAUGUCAUUUGUUAUACUGUCCUGAUUGAUGGACAUUGCAAGGCAGAUAACCUUCAGGAUGCUGUAUGCCUCUUUGAUGAAAUGAUUGAGAGAGGAUUAGAGCCUGAUACAGUAACUUACACAGCUCUUCUCUCCGGACUUUGUAACAGGGGAGAUGUGGAUAAGGCUGUAAACCUUCUUGAUCAAAUGUCACUAAAGGGGAUACUGCCUGAUACUCGCACAAUGUCUGCUUUAGAGCGCGGUAUUCUAAAAGCCAGGAAGGUACAGUUUCAAAAGUAACUACUUCUGUAAAUGAUGGUGGCUGGAUGAAUCCAAAAUAUGUGAACUAGACCAAAAAUUAUUCUCAGGUAUAACUUGAUGUUAGUCCCUUUGGUAAUUUUGCGUUUCUCUGCGUAUGUGUAUUUUUAUUUGUUCCUUUGUCAACCUGUAAAAUAAUAUUAUGGAGAUUAAAUUGCCAGUUUAUGUCUUCUACCAAUACUAGCAGGGUGGCUACUGACUACUGCAUUGAGUAAUUCCAUGUGAGCUGGAAAAGUCUAUCUGAACUGUGGAAUUGGUAUGUUUCUCUACUUCUUUUAAAUCUUCCAUCAUUUAUAUUCGCAAAGGUUUCAACUUUCAACUGAAAGCAUCUUAUAACACAUCCAUUUGGGAGGUCAUCUGGAAUCCAAUCUCUUAAACUAUGUAGAAAUUUAUGAUGAAAAUGUCAAUAAUCAUCCUAUAUGCUUAUGUUUUGAUCUUUGAAGUUCUAAGUCUCUUGCAACUCUGUGAUAUAUUCAAUACAUGUAUCUUUGUUAUCUGUAAUUCAAUAGAUCAUUUGAAAUCAACAGUAAAAAUACUAGAUGUACAUGCUUCAAGGAACAUGCUUUGGUGAAAUGCAUUAGGUAAAGGCCUAUGUGGUCUAUUGCUUCACAUUACUAAUACUUGGAGUAGAUUUACUGCAUUUCAAUUUUGAACUGGGUGUCUGUAUUUCUGCUAUUGCACUUGAACCCUGUUAAGAAUCCAUUUUAUUCUAGUGAGGGUAGUAUAUUCAUGUCACUUAUGACACCUGUAUCAAAUGCUUGGCCUUAACAUCAGUUAUUCAAAUUUCUUGUGCUUGGGCCUUGCCUCAAGUUUGUGAUGGUGUGUUGGUGUGAGGUUGAUAUCAUGUUUCAAAUUCAACUCUAUCAUUUUCUCUGUGUGAGUUAGCAAAAUUAAACUCCUAGUCAUGGUGAGCACAAAAUUACUUUAAAGUAUUUGUGCCAAUAGUCAUUCAAUUAAUGGUGCGCAAGCAUGGGUAAAACUGAUAAUUCGUUCUGAUAUUUGUGGGAAACUCAUAGCUAAGAGAGCUAAAGUAAUGCCUUUAUUUUGAAAAAUGAAGAAAAAAGUUCUGAGGAAUAUUCAUCAAUGCGUGAAUCUCACUUUAAUGCUAUAUUUCAAGUAGGUGACUAGGACUUCCCCUGCUGAUUCUUAUGAAUCCUCCUCACCCUAUUGUGAGGGUGGUGGAGGAGAAAGUAUGAUAUACCUACAGAGAAAAAUGUCGCCUAGCACAGGGGAGAUUGUCUUUUUUGUGUAUUUAUUUUUUUUUUAUAAGAAAUAGCUCUGCCAUUUGCGAGGGGGCUUAAUCUCAUUGCUGGUUGCUAUAUAUAUAUAUAUAUAUAUUAUUUUUUUCAGCACAUUCAAGUUCAAUUUGUAUCAUAAAUUUCAAUGACAGUAACAAUAAUUAUCACCUGAUUUCAGUGUGGUCACUUAAGUUUUAUGAUAUAUUGAUUAAACAUUGUUGAAGUUCAGUCCACUUGAGGUGGAAAUCUCGCUGAAUGGUAGAGAUCAAGUUGAAGAUUAUGUCUUGUCUUUCCCUCCUUUUCUUUUGCUGUCUCUCUCCACUUGUUUGGAAUUGUCUAGUUUGUUACUUGAGGAAUUAUGGUUUAUAUUUAUGCUAUUUUUGUUUUCUGUUUUUGGUGUAUCACAAUUAAUCUUCUAUAUUUGGACCAUAUCACUAUGGUUGUUAUAUUGUUAUUAUUGUUAUUGUGUACUAAAUUUAGUAAGUUAUUAUAUGGAGAUGAAACACAUUAUCUGUUGCCUUUUUUAUGCUAAAAGAUCAUCUCAAACUACACUUAAUUAGACUAUGCUAUCCUACCACUAUUGUUCCCUUUCAAGUUAAAUUAGCUUUCCAUGUUAGGCAAUUCUUUUCAUUAGAUUUGGUGCCUGACUUCAGUGCAUUAUAUCUUGUUGAACACUUCUGGAGCUAACUUUUAAAAAACGAUUUUCUACUCAGAUGAAAUGCUUGUCAAUUUCAAGGAAGCUUGUAAGUAUCACCUACCUUAUUCUGUUAUGUUCAAGCGAGGUAAAGACUUUACCAGUGUUAGUACAGCGCCCUAAAUUCAAGGAUAGUAGGUGAAAUUUACCUCGGUGCUUUGAAUCUGUCAAUUUUGCAUGCAUGUGUGUGUAUUUUUUUCUUUCUUUGUAGUUGUUUUAUUUGUAAGAAUCUUGGUGCAAUAGAGUAACAAUUUUUAAUGUUUAUGGGGACUUGCAGUGCCCGGAGUAGGUGAAAGCUUUAGACAAAUUGAAAAAAAAAAAAAAGAAAGAAAGAAAGCUGUAGACAAGAAUACAAAAGCUCAGAAGGAAUCUGGAUGAUGGAUUUGCCUUUGAAGAAUUGCCAAGACAAAGGAGGAGUCUGAUAUUUCCAAGAGAGAGCUUAUCUUGGAAUAUGGAACACUCAUACAGCCAUAUUCAGGUGAACUUGCAAGCAAUUUUGGGUACAAAAUCGUAAACCUGUUGACGGUAUUCGUUAAACUAUCCAGUAUGCCAGGUUUUCAUUCUUGUGUUAUUACUGUAUGGAGAAGAAUUUGUGCUGCUUGUAUCAGGCAUGAGCAGAACGUUACCCUCCUUUUUAGUUCGAGGGCAUGCCGAUUUUUUAGUCUAAAUUGAUAUAGCUAUAAUUUAACAUGUCCAUAUGUAAGUUUUAAGAUAAUGUAAUAAGUUUCUGUAGCGGCUCUUUAGUGAUUUUGCAUUUAACUGGACUUAGGCGUUGCAAAAUUUAUUGAUUUGGUAAUUUGGGUUGUAAAGAGAGAGAGAGAGAUCAAACUCCCUAUUCUAGGAAACUUUUAGACGCCCAAGAUAUAAACAGAUGAGUCUCUCAUAUAAUUUUUUCGAUGUAAGUUCACUUGACUGUGCCUUAGCUCUUCUCUCCAUAGACACAUGCGUCUAUUCAACCCAUCAAAUCUGAAGUUUUAAAACUUGAAAAAACCGUCAAACAUUAACUCCUUAAUUCCAAAAAAAAAAUAUGUACUACUUGUUCCCACAAGGCAUCAGAUUGGUAAAAGGCAAAGCAGUGGGCCUAUAAAAUUUGGGCUUCGUAUCGGAUUGGAUAAAAUCUAAAAGAAUUUAGCGUGGGACCUACGUAGUAGGAAACUGAAAGUUACAGUUGUGUAAUAAAAGCAGGACCCAAAGACUUGGCACGUACUGAUCCCGCCGUAUAAAAUGCUGGAAAGAAAGAAAAUCAUCCGAAAGGAGGGAGCACAAAAUCUAUUCUUUUGUUUUGAAGUUACCCGCGAUGGGCAGCCAAAGCGAGAGUAACGCGAAUCGAUCGCAGAUACCUCCUGGGAUGAAGAAGAUUGUCCAGAGUUUGAGAGAAAUUCUUAACCAUAAAUAUACGAACGAUGAAAUCUACUCUGCCCUUCGUAACUGUCACAUGGACCCUUAUGACACCGUUCAGAGACUCCUUUCUCAAGGUUCCUUCUCCUCCUUCUUUUUCUUCUUCUUCUUGUAUUUAUUUUUGUUAGACAAACGAGGAAUUUUGUUUUCUUUUUUCGUUUCGGAGAUUUCAUUUGCCUUUCGGUAUUAAUUUUCUGAGAGAAAAAAAUUGCUCUUCUUUGUACAUACGUGUUGUUUGUUUUCCAAGAAAACUGCGGAACAACGUAAUGUAGCAUUUUUUGUAAGGAUUGUUUGGCCUUUUAGAAGAUUUUGAUUUUGUAAUUCCUCUUGUUAUUAAUAAAACAAUUUUCUGUCUGAUAGCGAGGAAAGAUUGCAGAAAGUCAUAAACAAAUAAAGAAAAACUUUUACGGUUUAUUAUUCCACAUUUGUGCAUCCAACUCUGGACUAGUAGUUUUUCUUACGGCCAAAGGCGUCUAGUUCUUUGCUAAUUCAAUUAUUUUAGAUGUAUUUCUUUUGUAGUUGAAAUAUUUUGCCACUUUUUCUUUAGUUGGUUGUGUCAGUUCUGUCCCCACGCUGAAGCUUUGCCAAUUUCGCCUUAAUUAUCGUAGCAAUUUAAGUAGUAUUUUUAAAUCGUGUAGAUAUUUUUCAUGAAGUGAAGAGCAAACGUGAAAGAAGAAAAGAGGUACACUCUUUAAGAACAACCGCUUAGUUAUAUUUUUCCUCCUUUUUUUUUUUUUUUGUUUUUCUUUCCAUUUUCAAGUAAGUGCCUUUUGAUAUAUCUGAACCCGAUUUUGGAAGGGGAUUAAUUGUUCUAGAAUCUAGAUGAGUGACGGUCAUGCUAUUCUUACUAUAUCUCCUGUACGAUAGAUAAGGUUUCUGUCCAUUUCAUUCUUUUAUACUUUCUUAAUUAAAUAAUAUAAAUUUGUUUCCUACAGAUGAAAGAGACGCAAGAAUCAAGGGCUUGGGGUAGUAAUAAUGGUUAUCAUGGAGUUAAAGCUGAUGCCGAAUAUAAUGUCGAUCAUGCAUCAUCUCAAAUCAGCUACAAUGGUGUGUUCUUACAGUAAAUGUGAAACACUUUUUUGGUCAAUGGAGUUGUGAUUUUGAGUUGGACUUCGUUGUUGCAUAUUCUUACUACAUGAACUUUUAUCCUCCUGGCAGACGACGUUGGUAAAGUUGAAUCUAUGAGAGGGAAUCUGUCCGUUGCUUCUUCUAUAACUUCUUCAUCACCUUUGACUUAUCAUGUGAAAACUACAAAAGAGCCGCCUUCACUUUAUAGGUUAGUUCUAAUAAGAAAACCAUGUUGAUUUUCAUCUGUACUUGUUAACAUGAAUCUAUUUUUGAAACUUCUAGAAUAAACCUAAGGAGAACUCCGCAUCUAUGAGAGGGAAUCUGUCUGUUGCUUCUUCUAUAACUCAUCACCUUACUUAUCAUGUGAAAACUACAAACAAGCAGCCUUCCAUUCACAUGUCAGUUCUAAUAUGAAAACCAUGUUGCUUUUCAUCUCUAUGUCUCUAACAUAAUAUCUCUAUUUUAAAAUUCUAGAAUAAACCUAAGGAGAAAUACAGAUAAUUCACUUGGUUAUAAUUUCUGCAUGCUUUCAAUCGUUUUUAAUUUUACUUAGCCUCUUUGCUAUUGAACAAAUUCGGUGCAAAUCCUACAUAGGUCAUUUAAAUUUCUUUAGAAAGGAAAUUGUCUGAUAAUAAAAUGGUAUGCUAAACAAUGAAGUAAAACAACUACGAAAUCAUCUGUAAUUUAAAAUGUUGCAUUUUAAUUUAGUAGGUAAAAAAAAAUUUUGUACUCUAGCAUAAGCAUCAGAACAUUAGUUGUCUCAUCUAUAAUACAACAUUUCUAAAGAAUGAAGUGCCUCUGUUGUUAAAUUUGUUUAUUUGUUGUUUUUUUUUCCUUGCUGGUGGACAUUUCCAAAGGUAAACUCUCCCCACCUGCCUUUCUUUUGUCGUUUGUGGUCCAAAGAUGCCCAUUGGUCUAGAUUUUCAGCUUUUUAUAUAGCUAGGGAUCUUUCCAAUUUAGUGCAUUACUCCAAUCUGAAGAGUAACAUGGUAUUACAUGCAUGCAUGUGAACAUGCAAAUGGAUGUAUUCUAGAUAUUUUCGUUGUUUUUUUAACUAAUUAUUACAUUUUUCAAAUAAUUUUAUGGGCCCACUUGGGAUUAAGGCUGAGACCUACUUUUGGGAAAAAAAGCUUCUUAAGAUGUUAGAAAAAGCGAUUUGUAGCUGUUGUUUAGCUUUUUUUGGAAUUCUUAUAAUUAAGGUAUUUCAAUUUUAACUUGCAAACAAUUUUUCAAUGGCCUCUAAUUAAUGCAUUUGAGAGGGUGCUUUUCUCAAUGGUAGUGAAAGACAAUAAAUUUACAAAUGUUUCUAGCCCUGUUUUCUUGCUCAUUUGAGGUCAGAAAAAAUCUGACUAGUAAAUUAGGUAUUUAAAUGUCUAGGUCUCUGCUUUGAUCAUGUUAUUUAGAUGUCAGUGUAUGUAUAAGUGAUGCAAGCAUUUGAAGAGAAUGGGGGAAAAGAACAAAUUUGAUCACAUAAGCUGAGAAGGAAAUAAGCUUGUAAUCUACUUUGAUCAUGUUUUAAGUGCCUAGGUCCUCCCUCUCUCUAGUCUAAUGUUUCUUUUCAUCGCUCUUUAAGUUGUGCAUGGUUCAGAAUUGCCAUUUUAAACCAGCAUUUUGAGAUUAUCAACAGAGGAGUAAGAAUUCCUUCUUUUACCAUGAAGUGAAAAGUUAAUUUGCCUGGGAAUUUAUUUGGCUCAAAGUUAUGUGCUGGGGCAAGUAGCUUUCUGCCACCUUAGUUGAUAUGAUGAAACUUCUUCAACUUCUGAGAAGGAUAGAAUUUUCUCUCCGUGCUUGUUUGUUUGUUUAGUUAACAUUCAACCUGUGCAAGUAAUUGAUGACAUAAAAGUGUUCAAUCUUAUUACCGCCUUUGGGUUUAUUUAUUUAUUUAUUAUUGAAUCCGUUGUAUUCAUUUUGAUUGACCUGGAAUUUUUGCUUUGGCAGGUCUUUCAAUGUUGAUAAUGGAAGACAAACUUUUGGAACUGGUGGUUCCAUCUUGUCAUCUGAACAAACUUCUGGCAGAUCGCUGGCUGCUUUGGAUAGUGGUCCUCGUGGGCAUGUUUCUAUGGCUGACAUUGUUAAGAUGGGUAGGCCACAUGUCCAGGGUUCAUCUGUGGCAGCGGAGACAUCUAAUACACUUGAAGAUAUGGAUGCAAGAGACUCAUUGGAUAGUUUUCUUAAACCUUCCCAUGAUUCUUCACCAUCUCCCGCUCCACUAGAACUACACCAAGAUCUGCAAUGUUCACAUCCUGCUAAUCUGUCAAAGUCUGCUUAUCAAUCUGGCACCACCACUACCAGCCAGCACAAUUUUGAUGACAAAUGGCCUGUGAUUGAGCAGCAGGAAUCUGGUGAGUGGAUCAUCUAUCAUAAAUAGUUCAAUUACUUCUGGUGUUGGACGAGGUCCUGAUCAAUCUCACUUUGUUUAAUAUUGGUAUUAAAUUGCCUAAAAAAAUUGCCAAUCUGAGGUGGUCAAAUUAUCAGAGAGGAAUGUAAGCUAAAAUCUAGAUUCGAAUUUUGUUUAAUUUGAUUCUCCAUCUGCAUGAAUGAUGAAGGUAACUUCAAUCUUAUUUGUUUUAUGCUAAGAGUGGUUGUUUAUUCUUAGAAGAACUAUAGAAUUGACAGCUGCAAUAUGAAUGUGUGCAAUGCCAUAUCAAACAUUAUACAGUUUUGCUUCUGUGAUGGUUAACUUUCACCUUAUCAUGGUUUCAUCUCUGAAAAUAUGUUGUUAUUUUACAUGAACUAAUUUAUGUUCUGUUUACAGCAUGGUCCUUACCAUUCGUUCUUAUUUUCUUAUCCCCCAAUUUUAGGUAGAGAAAGCUGCUCUCGUUCAUCUUUUGCAAAUGGCUCUGUACUUCUGAAUGGAAAAGUAUCAUCAACUGCUGCAAACUUGAAGCAGCUAAGUCUGGAGAAAGAGUCCAAAUUAGUGCUGCUACCAGAGGAUGAUCAUCCAUUGGUGUUUCCAAAUGAUAUGCGAGCCUCAGCUGCUGACUGCCAACAUUUGAGUUUUGGUACAUUUAAUUCUGGUUUGCAGCAGCUGAGUCUGGAGAAAGAGUCCAAAUUAGUGCUGCUACCAGAGGAUGACCAUCCAGUGGUGUUUCCAAAUGAUAUGCGAGCCUCAGCUGCUGACUGCCCACAUUUGAGUUUUGGUACAUUUAAUUCUGGUGUGCAUGCUAAAAUUUCUGGGCCAUUGGCCUCAAAACCCUCAAAAAGUAACUUGAAGGAGGUGCCUGCAGUAAUUGAUGGGUCAUCUUCUGUUUGCUUGGACACUAGGCAUGAAUACUUCAGCACAGUUCCUGUCUUACGUUACAGAUUGUAUUGUUGUUCAUAGUAUUUUUAUUUCUUGUGUGCAGAAAUUCAGGGUACUUUGGUGAGUCCCUAUGCAGUAAGCAGGUUGGACUCAUUUCUGAUGCACAUCAAUUAACUGCACAUGUUAGGGAUCAUAACUUGUCUACAUCAUUACAGCCAGAGUUGACAAGGGAAAAUAUUCAUGAGUUCAAUAAUGGGCAUGAUUUUACAUCUGAGAAAUCUGUACCAGACUCUUGUUUCAAAAAUAUCCAAGAGCCCACUACUCCAUGGCCUGUUAUGAUAAGCCCUCAUGCCUCAGAUAUCCCUCCUCUUCAUUGUGAACUGGUAAUAAUAUUAGCUAUGCUGGUGAACUAGUUUCAAAAAGAAUGAAUUUUCUGAGAAUAGGUUCUUUCGUUGAUUAUGGAUGUCAUAUGAAUAAGAAUAGUGCAGAUUCAGAUGUCUGAUUGUGAGUGCUUGCAAGAUUCUUUGUGCAUAAUACUUACAGAUUUUAGGAUAUAGGUCCAAUAUAGAAAGUGGAACUUGAUUUAGUCAGGGUUCAACGCCUUAUCAAUUAAGGGAUGUUGCAUCAUUUAAUAUGGUGCACUUUCUGUUGCAGCAAGCAAGUUCAAUGUCUGUACCUGUUGAUUUGUUGGCAUCAGCUGUCCAAUCUGUGAGAGAUUCAUCGUGCAUGUUACAAGUCACCAAAGUUCAAUAGAUCAUUUAUUACAUACCUUUGUCAUGGGAAUGGUUGAAUUGCCAGUAGAUGAUACAAUAUCACUGUACUUCGGGGUCAAUGACUCAUUUAUUACAUACCUUUGUCAUGGGAAUGGUUGAAUUGCCAGUAGAUGAUACAAUAUCGCUGUACUUUGGGGUCAAUGACCGUGUUCCAGGGAUAGAUGAACAUGCAUUUUAAAGGUGUUGCUUAUUAUGAGAGAGAAAGUAGGUGAAACAAAAAGUAGACAUUACAAAGAUUCUUCCUUUUAAAUGUUUGAAAUUGUUUUUAUGCAUAACCCAAACUGAAUAUGUUUAUCAUAAUGCUUUUUGAUUUCUAUAAACUCCUAUCGCUAAAACAGCAAAAUUUAAUGUUGAGUCAUGUGAUAAUAUUUUACUGCCUAAAUGAUAGAUUACUGAUCCUGUUCUUUUUAAGUAUUAAAAAUUUUGAUUUUCUUUUUCUUUGUUUGUAAUUUUGCAGAUUCUAAAUUCUGGUGCCUUUUCUUUACCGGACUCAUACUCAUCUACUAUGCCCGGUGUGGGUUUCGGUGCAGGUCUGGUGCUUCCCCGGCAUCUGGUGGCACAUUCUUACCCUCGGUCUUCCUCUGGCUACUCUGCUGUUUGUCAAACAUAUCCCUGCACUCCAUCUGCUUUGCAGCAAGCAUAUCAACAUAGCAGUGUAUUUCGUGAUCCCCGGGCAAGAAUGAAGUAUAACCUUCAACCAUCAAAAGAGGUUUUACCUAGGAGUAGCUUGCCUCUGUCUAGUGCAAAUAUUUGCAGUUAUGAAGGUUUGGGGAAUCCCAUCAACUUGUCUGGGAGGUUUCUAAAUGAUUUAUCAACUAUCCCUAACGUAGUUUUGGGGAAUCCUGCCAAUUUUUCUGAGAGAUCUCUGAAUGAUUUACCCACUACCCUUGGUGGGUAUGCAGUUGACUAUAAUGAUUUUCUACGCGGUCAGUGCGAGGAGGAAAAUAAUUUUACUAUGCUUCAACAGGUAAAGGAAGUAGGAUUCUCUCUGGUUUUGCAUUAACGUUCAUUUUAUACUGUUGCAUGCCAGUCCUUUACGAAAAAAACUUUUCUUUGUAGGAUUAUGGACGUGGUUCUAGAACAUCUUCGACUGUUACAGAAAAUGGAUAUUACUGCUUACAAAGACAAAGCCAGCUGCGAUCUACUCAUCAAGAUCAACAGCGCUCACAGAAUUAUGGUGCUCUAGGUUGCAUAAAUGUUUAUCAUUCUCAACAAACAAUAUCACAAGAUGAACAGCUGAAAAGCCUUGGUGAUUCAGCUUUUAGAAGUUCUCAAGGUCCAUCCGAGCAAUUUCAACCAUUCUGGCGGCAUAUCUGGUAAUGGUCGCAGGUCAUCAAAUCCAUUUCUUCAACUUCGGUUGCACGGCUCCUGAGUCUCUUUUUGGUCCUUUUCAGUAGCUGAGUUUGAAAGAGGCAAAUUAGGUCGGUUCACUGUUUAAUUAGAAUGUUAUGGUAGUCAUGAGUCUGGCUCUAAUUGUACACACCUAAAAGAGAUGAGUGUGGCUCUGUCCCAUGCCUCAAUAUUGUAUUAUAUCUUUUUUUCGUAUUGGGGCACGGUUUAGAUGAGUAGCUUGCCAAUGUGAAUUCCUUCAUUUUCAAAAAGCAUUUUGAUUUAAAAAAAAAAAAAAUUAAAAAAGACUACACACAAUCAUCUUGGUCUUUUAAUGUAGCAACACGGAUCAUCCAUUUUUUUGGCUGUCCCGGGAUACGUUUUGAUUACUUAUAGUUGUUUUAUUAUAUUUUUUAGAGAAGUAGCUGAAUCUAAUUUGAAUUACAAUUUUACCUUAGCAGAAUAUAUUUAAACGAGGAAUUAACAUGAGGGAAAUAUCAGUUGGAAAGUAGGCAGUGGGAAUGAUGCAUAAACUACAGUAAUUAACAAGGUUGUUUCUACUUAACCUUCUCCUAAUCCCGUUCAUUCUUUUGGUUUCUUGCAAUAUAAUUAUUAGCAGAAUAUCUAGUACUUAAGCUCUGAUGUCAGAACGCAGUUCAUGUGAACUUGGUCAUUAUUAAAUGGCUGGAGGUGCAGAUUUAACAGUCCCUUCUGUUGGAUCCAAAAGCAUCAUGGAUCCCAACCAGGAAUCAGACAAGGGUAAUUACCAUCAAUCGAGCAUAGAGGCAAUCCUCACCGCUCCUAAGUUGCCAAAGGCAGAGUCAUUUGUUUCGCAGGCACCUGCAGGGCAGACCAUCAAGCGACCUCGUGGGAGGCCUGCAGGCUCAAAAAAUAAGCCAAAGCCACCAAUUAUUGUGACUCGAGAUAGUGCAAAUGCAUUAAGGGCUCAUGCAAUGGAGGUCACCUCAGGCUGUGAUGUGAGUGAGAGUUUAGUUAACUUUGCAAGGAGGAAACAACGUGGAAUCUGUGUACUUAGUGGAAGUGGUUGUGUAGCCAAUGUCACCUUACGACAGCCAACUUCAUCUGGUGCCAUUGUGACACUUCAUGGCCGAUUCGAGAUACUCUCAUUGCUUGGAUCAAUAUUGCCACCGCCUGCUCCACCAGGAAUUGCAGGGCUAACUAUUUAUUUGGCAGGGGCUCAAGGACAGGUAGUUGGUGGGGGAGUAGUUGGCGCACUCAUUGCAUCUGGCCCUGUUGUGAUCAUGGCGACAUCUUUCAUGAAUGCUACUUUCGAUCGUUUGCCAUUGGAUGAGGAUGAAAGUGCUACAAUCGUGCAGAAUCAACAUUAUCAAAAUGGUCGUCAUCACCACCACCAUCACCUGGAUAUUUCAGAUCUCUAUGGCGUACCACAAAAUUUGCUCACCAAUGGUACGUUGCCACCAGAAAUAUACUCGUGGGCACCAGGACGAACAAUGACGAAAUCCUAACUUGUUUAGCUGCAAAUCAUAGUAUAAGCACUUCAAAAUGGGUCUCACUGUCGUUAAGCAUUGUUAUGGCCUUUAGCAUAGAAACCCAUGCAAACAUAUUUAAUAUUUAUAACCAUUUAAUCAAAAUUGUUGUUCUGCAGAAAGUACUUGUAUUAUGUCUCUCCAACAAUUAUCAGUUUCAGAAUCUAUUCUGUUUCCUUUAUUAUCAGUUUCAGAGCAUCCAAUACAUGGUAGAUUUCUUUGGCUUUUGGAUGCAGCCUUCCACCUGCUACAAAUUCAUGAACUUCUCCAUUUACUUCAAUUAAACUACAUCCAGGUUCCUUCUCUAUCUGCUUUUCUUUCAUUGAAAGCCUUUGCUCUAUUGCUUCCUCAAAAUGACUAGAGGCAGCAUAGACAUUAGCCAUUAGUACAAAACUUGAACUUUCACUUGAAUCUAACUCUAUCAAAUGCUUUGCUACUCGAUUUGCCAUCUCUAUAUUUCCAUGCUUGCAACAAGACCAGAGUAAAGAUCCCCAUAUGAUGGCAUCUGGAUCCAUAGGCAUAUUUCUUAUGAGCUCUUCAGCCUCUUCUAGGAGUCCUACUCGGCCUAACACAUCGACCAUACAACUGUAAUGUUUUAUUGAUGGUUUGACCUUAUAUUUCUCUUUCAUUAAGAGGAAAUAAUCCUUGGCUUUGUCCACCAAGCCAGAAUGAUUACAAGCUGUCAAGACACCUAUAAAACUGACAUGAUCUGGUUUCAAAUUUGUAGACUCAAGCACUGAAAAUAAUUGGAUUGCUUCAUUGUCUUGACCAUUCAUUGCUAGACCUAAAAUAGUUGCGUUCCAACAUGAUAAUCCUUUCUUGGGUGCACUCUUGAACACUUGAAGAGCGUCAUUAAUGCUUCCACACUUGGAGUACAUGUCUAUAAUUGCUGUAACAACAAUAGCAUUCAAUUCAAACUUGUUCUUUACCAUAUAAUCAUGGAUCCAUUCUCCUUGCCUAAUUGCUCCUAAGCAAGCACAAGCAUUUAACAAGCUCACCAUUGUAAACUCACUAGGCUUAAUACUUUCUUCUUGCAUUUUACGAAACAUCUCCAAUGCCUCAAUGAAUCUACCAUUUCUCACGUACCCACUAAUCAUUGAAUUCCAAGAAAUCGUAUUCCUCGAUAACAUGUUAUCAAAUAAUCUUCUUGAUUCAUCAAUCAAUCCCCAUUUAGCGAGUGCCAUAAUCAUUAUAUUCCAAGCAACAACAUCAAAAUCUAUACCUCCAGCAAACACCUUUCGUGCCUCACUCAGGAAUCCACUAUUGGCAUACAUAUUCAAGAUAGUGUUUCGAAUAAAGGGAUCAUUAUCAAGUUUCAUUUUGAUCACCCUACCAUGAAGCUGAGCUCCUUCAGAAGCAAGAUUAAGUUGAGCAUAAGCCUUAAAAACUGAAGGAAAGGUCAGUCUUUGAGGUUGAAUUGGCGAAGUGAGCAACAUGUCCAUGAACAAAAAGAUAGCAAUUUGAGGAGUAGAGCUCUGAGAGAAGCCUCUAAUGAUGGUAUUCCAUAUGAAGAGAUUUGGGUUUUGAAUUUGGGUAAAGACUAAGUAAGCAUAGUUGAUGUCGCCGGCCGAAGAGGCGCAAAAGGCUAACAGCCGGCUAGCGGCAAUAGGGUGUUUGGCUAGACCAGUUUUAAUGAGCUGGGCAUGAAGUUUUUGGAGGUCUUUCAUGGUAUUGCAAUUUUGGUCUAGCAUGGAGAGGUAAGUUUGGUGGGAGAUGAACUUGGAAAUGGCAGUUGGUAAUGGAGCAAGGGAACAACACAAGGGCACCAUUUUCUGUGGUUCUCGACUUCUCUCUCACUUUUAUCUUUUUAAUGUGAAAAAUAUAAUAUAAUGUAAUUCUCAUUUUUCAACCAUUCUCAACAUAUAAUAUAUAUAUAUAUAUAUNNNNNNNNNNNNNNNNNNNNNNNNNNNNNNNNNNNNNNNNNNNNNUAUAUAUAUAUAUAUAUAUAUAUUAAAAAUUAACAGAAAUAGAUGAUAUUAUAUAUAAUUUAUUAGACCAUUUGAUUUUUAUUUUAAGAUUAAUAAGUUGUUUUUUUUAUAAUUCCUAUUAAACUAUAUCUAUUAAUUAGAAAAGUAAAAGAUUAGGAUAACAAACAAAAUAUACUCUCGUAAUUUCAGAAAAAUAUUUUUUAAAAUUAUAGAUUAAUUGAUUUUAAUGAUUAUAAAUUUAUUUAUUAAUAUCUAAUAUAUACUAAAAAACUCACCAACGAUAAGAAUAAUUUUAAUGGAGUACUAUAAAUAUAUGAUAUAUUCAAAAAUUAACUGAAAUUUUUUACUUUAGUUAUAUUAAAUUAUAAAACGAAGCAGAGAUAAAAAGUCGUUAAUAAAAGAUGGCUUCACCGGCAGCACUGCAAAGGUCUCCACUUCCUUCUUCCACCACUCCCUCGUCUACGGCAUCCCCUUUCCAACGCCUCUCUACCUUAAAAAAUCCCUCCUCUUCCUCCCCUCUUCUACUCACCGCCACCGCUGCUUCCCCCUUAGAUUCCUUUGCCAAGGACCCUAUUCUCUCCCCUUUUCUCUCUCCUUCCUUCUCAUCCACUUCCUUCUCCUCUGCCGCCCUUUCUUCUGGCUCCCCCGCCUCCACUGCCGAACAUCUCCACCAUGCCAUCCGUCUCCUCGAAUCUCAACUCCGCACUGAAGUCCUAUCUCGUCACACCGAACUCCUCAACCAAUUAUCAUCUCUCAAGCAUGCUGAACAUGCUCUCUCCACCGUUCGAUCUGCUGUAUCCUCCCUUCAGUCAUCUGUCCGCCGUGUACGAUCGGAGCUUUCCAAACCCCACACGUCCAUACUGUCCAAAACCAUUCAACUCUCCAAUCUCCAUUCUACCGCGGAGUUUUUGCAACACAUGAUCCGUGCUUUCCGACUCUCUAAGAAGCUCCGUGAUCUGAUAUCGGCAUCGGAGUCAGGGCCCGAGAAGCUGGAUCUGGCCAAGGCAGCGCAGCUCCAUUGUGAGAUUUUGAAUAUGUGCAAUGAAUAUGACUUGAUGGGGAUUGAUUGCAUAGACGAAGAGCUCAAUCGGGUUAAAGAAAUUGGCGAAAGAUUGCGAGACGAGGCAAUGAAAGUUCUGGAGAGAGGAAUGGAGGGACUGAAUCAAGCUGAAGUUGGUACAGGAUUGCAAGUGUUCUAUAAUUUGGGAGAGCUAAAGGUUACUGUGGAACAGCUGGUGAAUAAGUACAAGGGAAUUGGGGUGAAGAGUGUGAGUGUGGCGUUGGAUAUGAAAGCCAUCUCUGCUGGAGGUGGCGGUGGUGGAUAUGGGCCAGGAGGGAUAAGAGGGAGCGGAACACCGCAAAUUGGAGGAGGGGCGAGGGCCAGAGAAGAGCUCUGGCAGAGGAUGGGAACGUGUAUGGAUAAAUUGCACUCCGUAGUGGUUGCUGUCUGGCAUUUGCAGAGGGUCUUGUCCAAAAAAAGAGAUCCGUUUACGUAUGUCUUGUUGCUUGAUGAAGUUAUCAAGGUGAGAGGGGCUUUUUUUUUUUUUUUUUCUUGUUUCGCUUUAAACUAAUUUUCAUCCUUUUUCUUUCCUGAGAAAAGCUUGGAAAUUUGAGGGACUCAAUUUAAAAGUUGAAGCUUGAGAAAAUGAGACUGCUUUCAACUAAGAAUGAUACACUUGUAUAGGUUAUUCUAAAUAAAUUGGGAAAGACCAGAGAAUAUUAUAUACGCACAUACACACUUUUAAACUGAAGCAACUGAAAUAUUAGCUUGCUUUAUUGGGUUCCAAGAAAUCAAACACUUGUAACAUUGCUAUCUUAGGCUGCUGCGUGGUAGCAUUCUAGUCCUUCCAUUUCACAUGAUUUAGUUACUAAAACUAUCAAACAAAUGCAUCGUUAUCGUAGUGUUUAAACUUGCUUUGGGGUGCAAAAGCAGAUUGCAAAAUCAGGUAGCUGCCUGAAAGCACAUUAGAUUGUAUUUUAAUUAGACUAAGAUUUUGAUUUCAUUUUCUUUGAAGCUGAUAUAUGGGAACAUGAAAUUUUUAAAUUCCUGGCUUUGAAGGCGUAUCUUCCACUAUCUCUGCUCUUUCAUCUUCAAUGCUCUCUUAUUUCCUUUUUAAUUGUCUUGAUUGAACUCAAACUAGGUUCCCUGCAUAAAAUUAUUAUUUUGCUCUAUGCUCAGUAAUUUUCAGCCUCAAUUUCUCUUUAUGCUUAAUUCAGCAUUUAUUCACUUAGGAAGGUGAUUCCAUGUUGACCGAUCGAGUUUGGGAGGCACUUGUGAAAGCUUUUGGAAGCCAACUGAAGUCUGCUUUCACCGCAUCAAGUUUUGUUAAGGAGAUAUUUACUGUGGGAUAUCCAAAGCUCUUCUCACUGAUAGAGAAUCUGUUAGAAAGGAUCUCACGAGAUACAGAUGUCAAAGGGGUUUUGCCAGCCAUCAGCUUGGAAGGGAAAGAACAGAUGGUUCAAGCUAUUGAGAUUUUCCAGACAUCUUUCUUGGCUUUGUGUUUAAGUGGCCUUUCAGAUCUUGUAAAUACUGUUUUCCCAGUGUCUAGCCGAGGAAGUGUUCCCUCCAAAGAACAAAUCUCUCGAAUUAUAUCACGCAUUCAGGAAGAAAUUGAAGCUGUUCAGUUGGAUGGGCGUUUGACUCUUCUUGUUUUGCGUGUAAUUGGCAAGGCUUUGCUUCUGCUUGCAGAACGAGCUGAAUACCAGGUAUUCUGGCAGAAAAAUAUGUUACUCCUUUUCAGUUUUUCUUUUCUUCCUUUUUCCCUUUCUUUUCUUGCCCCUUCUUAUUUAUGGCGAUAUUUUGGGCUUGCAUGUGUGGAGUAUUUCCUUAUAUGACACAAAAAUAAUCUACUGGUAUAUACUACUCAAAAGUCAGAAUGAUAGUAGGAUACAAUUUACCACAUUUCCAUGCUCUGUUCUACCCUUUUCUUUUUUGACAUUUCUUUUUUGUUGAUAUUGCUGCAUAGCACUUUCCUUCAAAAUUAUUAUCCUGUUAUUCUUGCCAUUGGAUGUUCUAUUGAUAUUGUUACGUACUUACCUUCAUUUGUUACUAGAGUCCAUAGGAUGGCCAACUUAUGAUGCAAUAUGGAUUGAUGCUUGAAAGUCCAGAGUCAAGGAACUCUUAUUUAUUCUCUUAGUCACAAUCCUUGCACAAUGCACUAAUAUGAUUUUAAACUUUUCUCUGUAGUAUUCUUAUAGCAUUCACUGUACAUUUAUUUCUAUAAAUUGCACCUGAAUGGCAGAUCUCUGCUGGUCAUGAGGCUCGCCAAAUUAUGGAUCCAGCAACUCCAGUACAAGUCAAGAACUUUGCAUUAUGUCAGCAUCUACAAGAAGUUCACACACGCGUAUCAUCUAUGAUUGUUGGACUGCCCACUAUAGCUGCAGAUGUAUUAUCUCUCUCACUGGGUGCAAUUUAUGGGGUUGCUCGUGAUUCAGUCACACCUUUGUUCAAAGCAAUGGUUGACUGUCUAGAGUCAUGCAUCUUGCAAAUGCAUGAACAAAACUUCAGUUGUCCUGGCAUGGAUGCUGCAAUGGACAAUAAUGCUUCCCCUUACAUGGAGGAGUUACAGAAGUGCAUUCUUCACUUUCGUAGUGAGUUCUUGUCGCGGCUGUUACCACCUUCUGCAAAUAGCACAGCUGCGGGAGCAGAAACUAUGUGCACCCAGCUUGUACGAAGCAUGGCAUCACGGGUUUUAGUAUUCUUUAUUAGGCAUGCUUCUCUUGUAAGACCUCUUUCAGAAUCAGGUAAACUCAGAAUGGCUAGAGACAUGGCUGAGCUGGAGUUAGCUGUAGGCCAAAACUUGUUCCCAGUUGAACAACUCGGUCCACCCUACAGAGCUCUCCGAGCAUUUCGGCCUCUUAUUUUCUUGGAGACGUCUCAACUGGAAGCAUCCCCUCUUCUUCAAGAUCUGCCGCCAAGUGUCAUACUGCAUCACCUUUACUCCCGAGGCCCUGAUGAAUUACAGUCUCCUUUGCAAAGAAACAAACUUACACCUUUGCAGUAUUCAUUGUGGCUAGAUUCUCAAGUUGAGAAUCAGAUUUGGAAAGGUAUUAAAGCCACACUUGAUGAUUAUGCUGUGAAAGUUAGAUCCAGGGGAGACAAGGAAUUUAGCCCUGUGUACCCUCUUAUGCUUCAGUUAGGAUCCUCUUUGACGGAGAAUGCUCCUGUGUCCCAAAAGCCUUAAAUUCUUGUACGUCUCUUUUAACGCCAGAAAGUUAAAAUCCCCCUGCCUGAUGAUUUUUGCCUGCAUCGUAAGUGUACAGGACAGUCAUGAUGAAGCCACAUAGAGAGUUGAGCAAAUUUUCCAUUUAAGGUAUACGUUUUCUUUGGGUUUCAGUUUUGUCUUCAUUUUUUUUUAAUAACUGAAGUGUUUCUUCAGCUUGUCUCCCUCAAAAAAUAGAGUUGAUCUCAUUUAAUUGGUUAAAUUUUCUUUUACCGAGUGUUCUACAAUACAUUGUUGCACAUUUCUGUCACCAUCAACCCAGCAAAACAAUACCUGGACCAAGGAAUAAUUCUGAAGAGAUGCAAAAGUUCUAGUAAUCACUACCGGAAGGAGAAGAAAAUAAAUGAAGAAAAUAAAAAAUAAAGAAGUGAAGAAUAUCUUUUUCAUCAUUAAGAAGGCUAAAGUUUUUUAAUUAAUUUAUUUAUGCACUUUGAUUUUCUUCAUCAAAAUUAUAGAUAGUAAUCUUCUACUUCAUUUAAGUUCAAUUGUGAAAAAAUAAAAAUAAAAUCCUAAUUAGACCCUUAAAUUGAUAUUGAAUUCCAACCCAGGUGGAUAUGGGCUACAAUAUUUAUGGAUAAAAAGAAAAACUAUCAGAUUUUAGCAGUUUAGAAGAGGUCUGUCUUUAAAUUAGUGAUGGACAAUUAUCUAUUUUUUAUUUUUUAUUCAUAAAAAUAUGAAUAAUUGAUUUUUUUUAUUUUUUUUUGGUGGGAAACUCAGCUGUCUUUCAUCAUGAACAAAAUGCGACAACUUGUAAAUAGGUCCGUUGUCUUAGAAGCCACUUUAUUCUUAAUAAAGAAGAAAGAAUCAAAGUGUUAAAAAGCCACUCCCUUUUCUCGAUGAUAAGCUUAGCAAAUGCAAAGAAAUCAAAUGGUAAGAAGAAGGGAGGAAGAGAAGAUUUCAAGACUGGAAAAUCAAGGAGCAUAGGUGGCUAUGGCAGAAGAGGAAGCACACCCAUAUGCUUUUCACGUUUCUGGGCCUCGAAAUGUGGCUUCUCUCAAUUGGAGAGACCUUAUCAAUUCCAAUUGGUUAGCAUACGCUUUCCCAUCUUAUCUUUGUUUCAAAUUUCCCAAUUAUUUGAUCCAUUAGCUACUCAGAAAUAAACGAUUUCAAGUAGGAACAAAAAAAGCCAGUUUUUGGGUUUCGAGAUAUGUAUAGGAACAGACGAUCUAUUUAAAAUCAGUAUAUGGGUUUAUUUGGGGUUCGAAAUCAGAACACUAUAAAAGAAGCUUUGGGUCCUAGAUAAGGAAGCCGGUACGUUGAAUUCAAUAGAUCUGGCUGAUCAGGGCUUGCACAUUCUAACUAAGAUCUGGGUGCUUUUUAUUUUGUUUGAUUUAACGUUUGAAUUUCUUCAAACAAUGAUAUAAACAAGAUAAGUGAAACGUCAGCAUUUAACAUGUCCUCUUUUUCCAAUUUUUGUCUAAGCUUGCACUAGUCUCGAGUUCCAUUCUAAAUUAUGCUGUGUUUCCUUUGCUCUUUUUCAGUUCAUUAUAUAGGCACAUUUAGAAUUUUCCUUCUGCGAUUAAAUAACGCAAUCAUCAGUGUUAUUACUAGAAUUAUCUUUCUAAAUGUUAUGAAGUCAAUAAUCGCAUGUGAUAGAUCACGCCUUGCCAUCGAUCUGGAUUGAAAUUUGUCUGGGGUUUCAUCUUUUACAUUAAUAUUCUACAGUUAAUGAACUAUGGAUGAACAUUCUGAUUUCUGAAGUUUAUAUAAUCUUUCAUAGUUUUCUUUUACUAACACCCAUGAUCAUAUGUUUCAAAAGAUCUUGUAACUUGAUUUUGUUCUCCGUGACCUUGAGUCUUGUUUUGGUGCCACUGGAUUUUUAGGUGCCAGUCAGCCAGCGGAAUUAGAAAAGAGCAAAACCUCUAGCAGUCUAGCUAGUUCCGCUAAUUUUGAAUUAGGAUGAAAUGUUAGAUCUUUUUGGUAUUUUUCAAUGAGAAUAUUCUUUCACUCCUACAAAGAUUUGCUUACAUUGAUGUGAAAAUGUAUCCGUACCCAUGCAUAUCUAUGCAGAUGACAAGUCUGUGAAUUAUUCCUACAUACAGGAAGAAUGAGAACUACAAGAGAACUGUAAUUGCCUGCUUUGUUCAAGCAGUCUACUUGCUUGAGCUUGACAGACAAGAGAACAGAACACAAGAGAAUGCCCUUGCUCCAAUGUGGUGGCUGCGCUUCAAGUACAAACUGACCCAAAAGUUAAUUGAUGAAAGAGAUGGAUCAAUAUUUGGUGCAGUGUUAGAAUGGGACAGAUCUGCAGCAUUUGCAGAUAUGAUACUCAUCAGACCUAGUGGAGCACCCAAGGCUGUUUUAGCACUCCGAGGAACACUACUCAAAAGCUCGACAAUCCGAAGGGAUAUAGAGGAUGACCUUCGUUUCCUUGCUUGUGAAAGCUUGAAGGGUUCUGUUAGAUUCAAAGUAGCACUGGAAGCAUUAAAAUCAGUUGCUGAAAGCCAUGGAAGGUGCAAUGUCUGCAUUGCAGGCCAUUCCUUGGGUGCUGGCUUUGCUCUCCAAGUGGGAAAAUCAUUAGCUAAAGAAGGCAUAUAUGUGGAAGCCCAUUUGUUCAAUCCUCCCUCAAUUUCUAUAGCCAUAAGCUUGAGGAAUAUUGGGGAAAAAGCCGAAUUUGCUUGGAAGAAAUUUAAAGUAAUGCUUCCUUCAAAUAGUGAAUCUCAGGCCACCGACGAUUUGGGGGACAAAACUUCUGUAGCAUUGGAAAAAUGGGUACCGCAUCUAUACGUGAAUGAUAGCGAUUACAUUUCUUGCUGUUACACUGACCCUGAUGGAUCUAAAGAUAAAAAUGCUAAUAUGGAGAAUAUAGGUCAUACAAAUAUUACAAAUGGACAGGUUGCAGCCAAGUUGUUUGUCAUGUCUAAAGGAAAACAAAAGUUUCUGGAGGCUCAUGGCUUAGAACAAUGGUGGUCUGAUGAUAUGCAACUUCAGAUGGCUCUCCAUGACAGCAAGCUUAUAAGCAGGCAGCUGAAAUCCUUGUACAACCUCCCAGCUUCUCAACCAACGCAAGUGCCGGAAUGACACUAGCUGGUGGUGGUUCAUUGUUUUUGCUAAAUAACUCAUUUCAAUACUGAAAUAUUCGUACUACCGUUAUGGUGUUUGGAUUUUGUAUCUGCUACCGAUUUGGAGAGGGUAAUUCAUAUCUUAUUGCCUGUAAGAUUGGGGAGAAGCCUUGUUCUUCUACUCAAUAAAUGUUCCCUUGCCUCGUCUAUGUUUCUCGAUUAUUCUUUAUUCUUCAUCCUUAAUGCUUUUCUUGAAAAAACAAUAAUAAUAAUAAUAAAUAAUAUUAUGGAAUGUCUUCUAAAUGAUCAAGUCUAAUAGUAUAAUGGGAUCCACCAACUUGGGACGAAGCGGAUUAUCAACACCAGAUUUCAGACAUUCAAAGCGGAUUCGCAGCUCCAAGUCCCUGGAAGAAGAAGACUGCAGGUCAUUAAGUUUCAAAGUUAUAGUUCAAAAUUCCAUUCGCAACUUCUACGGCCGAGUAAUUAUGAGCAUUUUGAUCUUACCUAAAUUACAGUUGGAUGGGGUAGCAAAUAUGGGAAUUCACCCCAUGCAGCUUCAAAAGGCGACAAAAAUAAUAAUGGCAGGCACCACUGAUGUGCAUUUGCAUUUCAUUUCAAGUAAUAUAUUUUUGCAUCUCUUAUUGUAAUAUAAUAUUUAUUCAGACUCAACGGAAUGUACAACUUUGGUAUAACAAUCUUGAUAUCUUACGAGACGGACUACACUCUUUCACACUUAAAUGAGCUCUCCUCUUGCUGACUCUCAGAAAGCUUCACAGCCAAAUGAAUUGAACAAGCAAAACGAGACACCGCAAUAUGGGGAUGAUUCAUCUCGAAUUCUUAAUUCCCUUCCAUCUAAUUCUUAAAAUAAAAAUGAUCGCAGUUUCAUUGUUUAGUAUUAUCAAUAGGUGCUAACGUCUACGAUUAUUAAUUAUAUUUUCUAAAAAAAUAAUAAUUGAGCAUAAUUCACCCUUUAAAAACUGUAAUCAAGUAUUGGGGGUAGAAAAACUAAGUAUAAACACCAAGAUUCACGACUUGAGGAAUGGGAGCGUUUCAUCAAACAUGAAAGCAUCAGAAAGCAGAGAUUCAGAUUGAAGCUAAAGGUAUGACUGCACAAACCAAGCACCCGCAGGGAAGCUCAUCUUGGAAAUUAACCUAAUAAUAAGCUCAUCAUAUAUUAUGCACACAUAAAAGAAAGUACCAAUAUGAAGAAAAGAUGCAUAUUAGACUAUGAAACGCCUUGGAAGGACAACCGAUCUCGGAGAGUAUCAAAAAUUGAUGAUGCUGCCGUGUUCUGUGCAAAACUCAAUUUCAAUCGCCCAAGCAGUUCCCCGUCUUUUGCUUGAGAAGCAGCAUCCGCUGCUUCCUUAGCCAUGCCAAUCCGUGCAAAAGCCUGAGAAAAUUGAGAUGUUUCAAAUAAAGCAGUACAGAGUAUAGACUAAAAAUAAAUAAAUAAAUAAAUAUGAAAGAGAAGAUUAUUACCUCAGCUCUUUCUCUAGGAUCUGCAAGUUUUGGAAUAUAUUUCAGAGCUUCACUUUUUUCAUCAGCAUCAAUGCAUGCCUCCACAAAUGGUCUAUAACCUAUUUGAUGCCAAAAAUAAAUCAUAAAUACAUCAUUACAAAAUAGGAAAUAUAUAUUUGAUACAUGCUAAUGUUAUGAAUGCAAGCAGAGUAAUUGGGUUGCUGAACAGAGUAGACAUCAAAUUUCUUCAAUGCAACUCUAACUUUAGAUGUAAUCAUCAUGCGCAAAUUUGCUAAGAGGCGGUGAACCACAACACUUGAUGCUCGCUCUAACGAGUAAACUUGCCUGAAAUGGCGGAGUAGGCUCCCUAAGCAUGGCUGCCUUGUUGAUUUUUCAGGUGAAGUGGUCCACUGGAGUCUUAGCAAUUUUGGCUAUGAUGACUAAAUUUGCAGGCGACGUUGAAUUUUAGUGAUUGAGGUUUUAAGUUAUUCAGGCUGUUUAUUCAAUAUAAAAAUACUAAAUAAAAAGGCAGCAGAUAUCAAUUGACACAGUGAUGUACUAGCCGUAUUUGCUUCUCUACAGUAUCCUUGGGAAGAUUAUAUGAUAGAUUUUACCAAUUGGUGGCCUCUUCUCCUUAGAAAACUUUUCCAGGGCAUCCCAAUCUCUAAUUGUUGCCAAAGCGAAAACUUUAAGCCAAUACCAUCGCUUCUCAGAAACCUGAAGGAGUUUAUAUCAAGAAAAUGAAGAUGAGAUUGCAACUGAAAUGAAUAGAAUAAAUAUGAAUGGACCAAUUUCUUUGUUCAUCUCCUGUUAAGGCAAUGUAAAAGAGCUUCGCAGACCUUAAACUCUGUUUUCACUUUCAUUGCAGCUCGAUGAUUUCCUAAUACAAUGCAUGUCCUAAUAGUGUCACUGAUACUUGAAUCAACAAAAAUAGCCUGCUUUGUAGAGACUUCUAACUCGUGUUGAAUUCUGCAAAAGUUGCAAGUAAUCAGCAAUGCAAUUAUAAAAGAAAAAAGCUGAAAAGAAAUAGCAAGCAAAUUCAUGAACAAAGGGCAAUAUAUAUAUAUAUAUAUAUAUAUAUUAAUGAAUGAAGGUAAUGAGGUGAAAUAUAGAUGAAGUCAGAACAAAUGAAAGCAGUAUACUCUAGCUGUCUAGCAAUACAGUUUCCACUGACAUGGUGAUCUGAAAGUUUAUGAGAUCCAUUUAUCUUGAAAUCACCAUCACCAUAUAAAAAUUCAUAGUAACAGUGGAAAACAUUUAGUGUAGAGGGAACAAAACCAUUAUGCAUGCAUAAGAAUAACACGUUCUGCUUAUUACCUCCCAUAAUUAAGUGCACUGAAAAAUAAAUAUGCAAUUGGUAAGGAAGAAACAUAACCUUAGCUUAACGCAUUUGUAUUUUAGUAGCUUUGGAAUCCUUUUCAUUUUUACCAUUUAAGAACUUGUGAUUUUCAAACAUCAUCCCUUUCUUACCACAUUUAGAUAAUACCAUUGGAAUAUCACUCAUAUAGCUCCAUCAUUGGCAUAAAUAAUACUUAAGUUCGAGUAUUAUACAUGUGGCACCAUCAAAUAGUAUCUCACUAAUGUCACAUGUUAAAGUCCUCUUUUGUUCUGAAAUUAAAGUUGUUAGGCAAAGAAAAAAAGGAAAGUUAUUUUUUUGGGAUCAAAUGAAAAUAUUGAUAAUAGAACAUUUUGUUUUACAUUAUGACUCACAGUGCGACAUAUAGGUACCAUAUACACAUCAUUUUGGAAUCAGCCAAACAGCAUUUAAGUGAAAACAUAACAAACAAAAGAUGAGGUAUUAAAAUGAUAUAUAUAUACUUUUGAAAUAAAAAUAAAAAAACCACAAUCCUGAAGUGAAAAAGUGCCAACAAUGGGAGGUUUUUAACUUCUUCCCUUUUUUAUUACUUUUUCCUACUUUCUGAUAAGAAUAGAUAAUCAAUACUUCACAUUUCACAUUCACCUACCUGAUGUAUAAAAAUGCACAAAUUUUUGCAACACUAAGUUCAUUUAACUUUACAGAAUAGAAAGAGUCUAAAAGAAAUAAUUGGUUUAUCACAACAACUGGUGAAAUCCAAAAAUUGUUGGCAUCUCCUACCUUAACAAUUUUGCGUGCUCCUCAGCAGCUUUUGACUCAAAUAUAUGUUCCUUAGUCUCUGAGAAAAGGCUUUGGGCCUUCUCAAUAAGCUUUAUGCGCGGACCAUGAAGAGGAGAUCCUUUACUUGCCAUUGGAUUUUUUCCAAGUUCCCAUGAUUCUUUCCACAAAAGAAAAGCUACGUCCUAGAAAACCAUAAUAAUUGCACAUUAGGACAAAAUGUCACAGAAACAGAGCAAUGAACUGAAAAUUCAUAAGAUAUUCAAUCAUUCUGCAAAGUAACUGAAUUAAUUUGGUAAUAAUAUGUAAAAUUAAGCAUUAACGACAAAAAUACAUGCCAUUUGCGUUAGCUACUUUUAGCUUAGAAUUAGCAACAAUCUCCCCUUCUCCCCCACAAGAUAAAUGUCGCAAAUUCUGCAAAUGCUCAGAACCUAUCCAGUGUCCAGCGCACAUGCCAAACUGUAGGACCAUUUUACACUAGAAACUGAGGUAUAUUAAGGUUUCAUAUUCCAUCAACAAUCCCUUGACUUUUUUUGUUUGAAAGAACAAUCCCUGGACUUAGAUCCUAAAAAAUGGGAAUGUUGUGAAUACUUCCACAUUUCAGUAUCAAAUAUGACAAAGUGCAUUAAAACAAAUUACCAUGCUAAAAUAAAUUAUAUAUUUUAAUUAUUCCCUUGCUUGAGCAUCUUAUAUGGGGAAUAUCUAACCACCACCAGAAAUCCCUUUAUCACAUAAAGCAACAUUUGAAACCAACCUGUUAAUCCUUACUUUCUUACAAGAUAUCAAAAAUAAAAACAUAUUAUUAGCUAUCAUUGAACAAUUUACACUUACUUGAAGCUGCCCAGUUGAUAGGAAGAAGUCCUUCAAGAAUUCAUGUUUGUAACUCCUGAGACAAAAUCACACCAAAGGGUAAGAUGCAUUUAAAUAAAUAUCUGAAAAAUUAUGUAUAUACAUUAAAAAAAUAAGAAGAAGAAGAAGAAGAGGGGGGAGAUACUAGAUAGCAAAGCUUCCAUGAUGAACAUAGGUUUUAAUAGAAAAGAAAAGUAUGCAUCAGGGAAAACUCCCUAAAUUCCUGUAGGUUUUGAUACACUAUAUCAACCCCUCUUUUAUUCAUCAGCAAGACAAAAGGUUCUAAAUCAAGGUCAUAGUUUUGACUGUUUCAGGAUGCCAGAAUCAAAAUUGUAACUGUUACAGAUCAUGCCAUUCCAAUACCCAAUAUUUCUCAAAAAGCAGUAAAAACUAUAGUUUAACAAAUUUUUUACUGAAUAUACAUUUGACUGUUCUCAACCAUAGUUAUUAAAGCACAAGGUGCAUCAUGACCCAAAUUCUACAGCUCUAAAAUCUCUUCUUCGUGAAAAAAUAAAAACCAUCCUCCCUCCAUAAUUCACAUCUACCUAUCAACUUCACUCCCAAAAUAAUAUUUAUUCGGUCAAAACAUCCAUUACCAGCUUCCUUUGCCUUUGCCUCACUUGCACCUGCACUAAAGCUAGAAGAAUCCCAAAUGCCUCAAAUGCACUAGAAACAAUUGAUUGCUACAUUUUUUUCAUUCAUUUUCCAGUUAGAGUACUUAGCACAAAGGAGAAGGAAAAAAAUAACUUAGGAAAACAAGAAGGAAAAAUAAACUACUUCAGUGUUGCACUUACCGUGCAUAGGUUACAAACAAAUCGCGUGCAAUGGGUCUGGCUUGUAUUGUUCCAAAGAACUCCAAGGCAGGCCUCUGCAUCAUGUAUAAGCAUAUGUUAGAAAAAAAAAGUUAUUAAUCAAUAAGAACAUUUUACCCACACAAUGCAGGCAUCAAGAAGCUCGAAGGAAAAAAGAAUGCCUGAAAUACAUUUAGAAUUAUGCUCCAGGCAUAAUAAUAGAAUAUGAGAUGUUAUAGAACACUUUACAGUCUUUUGAUAGUUUUAUUUCUGUCUCUCCAAAUAAAAGUUAUCUUGCUUUAUAGUAUUUUAAGUUGAGGUAUUUCAGUAAUUUCCAGCUUUAGAGAAACAACAGGCUGGAUGCCCUUUAGGAGUAUUUAUUUUUAUUUUUGAGUCUUGAUAUGAGUGAUUAUUGGUUAAGGAAAAUAUUUUUCCUUUUAGUUCUCUUUGGAGUUAAAUCAUUGAAGCUAUUUGCUGUUCAUGGAUACUGUUCACUGCACCUUAGCUACACUGCAAACAGUCCCUACAAUAUGUUUUUCCUUACAUUUUGCCAUGUAGGUACUCUUGGUUACGACCUAAAAUUAGAAAAAUUGUUUAACAAAGCCUAAAAAACGUCUUUGAAGCUGUUCCACAUCAUGAUGCCCCAAGUAUUACCUUGAUCAACAAGAAAGACAAAAACCUUACUGUGAUAAUUUGAAAGCAAUACCUUUAGCCAUAUGUGAAAUAGGACAAGGUAAACAAGGUCAGCAUCACCACUUUCAGUUGCCUUUGUCAAGGCUGUAUCUUCUUCUCCAAUGCUUAACAAGAGAGGAAUCUGAAGUGGAAUCAUAAUCAAUCAAUCAACCAAUCAACUAUGUUAUGCAUGCAUUGAACUUUUCUGAAAAUGUUGUAACUUUCACUUCAAAAUGGUAGAAAUAACAAAUUUGCUAUAUAAUAUAAAUAAACCUGUUUGGAGGAGCGCGAUUCAUAUUCAACAAGCAUAGCAGCCAGCUUCCGCCAGCCACUCUUAUCAGCAUGGGCAGCAACUGCUGCAUAAGAUAUGCCCUUGCAUAUUUUCAGCUGCAACUCAAAUGGAAUUGCAUCAGACAUUGCAUGAUAUGGAGAAAAAGGUAAAACACACUAACAUUAUUGAACAAGCCAAGGGUUUUCAUGUUUCCAAACAACUAUCAGAGUAAGUGCAAACCUUAUCAAGCAAGAUUUCAAGGAGAGCUGCAUCAGGAAUGGCUAAUGAAGCUGUUAUCUUUGAACAAGCCCAAUGCAUUAUCACCACCUCCUAUACAAAGUAAUGAGGAAAACAAGAGGAUAAAACAAUUUAGGAAUAGUUAUUUUAAUCUUCAAUCCCAUAACACAUAAGCUAUCAAAAUAAAAUUAAAAAAUAAAAAUAAAAACACAUGGGGAUAUGUGCACAAACAAUAAACAUAAAGAACCUCAUAUUGUGAAUUGACACUAUAUCCUACAACAGUGCCCAUUAUUCAUAAUCUCACCAUCCCCCUUUGAUAACAUUAAAUGAGAAUUUAGGCUUACGAGCUUCUAAGAUAUCAUAAGCUGAAUAUAAAAGGCCCAUUAGACAUUUUACAUUAUCUUUGAUGUUACUAACAAGAGAACCUAGGACACAAUUGUAUUUUAUGUUACAACACAUUUACUAGACACUAAACAACACCAGUUUCAAAAUCACCACCCUUGCGCAACCAUCAUGUGCUGACUACUACUUUUUACCUCCAGAAGCUCUUUCACCUCUUCAUCAUCCUCUUUUUCCAAAUAUAUUUAUAGUUGACUACUUCCACAACAUAAAUUAAUUCCAUCUACCACUCACACCAAUUUAUCAAUUAUCAUGCUGGGUCAUCUAUGAUAUAUGCUAAUUUCCACUUGAAUAACUUGGGGUAAGAAUACCAUGUCAAGACAUGCAUUUAGGCAGACACUUUUGUGCACAACAUUCCCAUACUGCCAUAAUAUGCAUCAUAUCCUUUAUAUUUCAACAAUUCCAGCAACAACAAUCAGUGUUUGAAGCCUUUUCCCUAAUUCAAGCUAAGUUCCAAAAUUAUAAUGUAUUGAGAUUUUAAUGACUCCUGUUUCUUCAUCUGGUGCAGACUUGCAGUGGUUGACACCACUUCUUCUUCAAAUUCACUGUAGUUUAUAUUGGUAAAGGGAAGCUAACAGUUAAGUGGGAGCUUAAUCCUGCUAGUUAUACGCGGUAACUAAUGUAUAUCUCGCAAGUUCCGGGUUUUAAGACUUCAAUCCAACUUGUGCUUAACAAUCACCAUCAAAUUUCUAUUUGUCUAAUGAAAUAUCUACAACCACUUGAUUACUAUAAUUAAUUUCACAAAUCCGCAAGAUACAUGUUUGAAGAUCAAAUUACUAGUGGCUUCUUCAAUAAUAAUGCAACCUAUUUGACUCUCCUUUUUCUCCCCUUCUUGACUUCAACAUUUGAUUAAUUUGCUCUAAGCAUUGAAAGUGGGUUAACAUGUCUAAGUGAAAAGGCCAAAGUGAAGAGUUCUGCACUAACAUUUUAAUAACAAAUAUUAGGUACAAGUUUGAAGAAAUUAAUAACAAUUCAAAAAGUGUGCAAGUGUGUGUGCGUGCGUAUGUGUGAUGUGGUUGCUUUAAGAGAAAUCAAAAGUUGGAUCCAAUCAUGGGUACAGUUUAAGGCUGAGAUCUGAUCAAUAUACAGAUCAAGUUAGGCCAUUUGAUAAACUAUUGAAAUUCUUAAAAUUAAUAAUAAUUGGCCAAGGAGAAUAACACCUAUGAUGCUAAAAACAAUAAUGAUGGUCGAUCAAAACUUACUUGAUUCAUCCCAAGGUACUCUGAUAGUCGUAGUGCAAGAAGGUGUUGGUUAGCAUUAAUCAAACGACCAAUCAGAACAGGUGCUGUAAGUGACUGAAGAAAAGAAUUUACUCAGCAUAGGUCCAGGAAAUACAUACAAGAUGAACUUCGAAAUUGGCAAAAUAAGUCAGGAAACAUUUGAGACCUUAUACUGCUGAAUACUUAGAGGGAUACCAAUCACAGGAUCACGCACAGCAUUUAAGACCCGCAAAGUUUUGCACAUCUCUUGAAUACAGUCACGUUGGAAAUUGCUGCCAAAGCCAACUGGAUAUCAAUAGCAAGAACAGAAAUCAGAAUAGAAGAAAAGGCAAGCUCUUUUAAGGCCAUAGAUGGAAUAUUGUUAUCCACUAAAAACAACAGAGAUCAGAGUCUACGGACAUUUUACAGACUAGGAGUAGGGAUGCAAAUUAUCUAUAUGAUUACAUCUAGUGAUAUCAAAGGCAAAACAGUAAAUGGGAAUUUCCAGUAUAUUAAUCUCAAGUAGCAACAUCAGUAGCAGCGUAUGGAAAGUUUUCUAGCGAAUGCCGUAACUGGCAGACUCCUAAACAAGCUUAAAUGGUAAAGUAGCAAAGAGCUUACCAGCCAAAAAAUUCAUUUUAGCACCUUAAAAAUAAUUUUUAGUAGCAAAAUUGAAAGACGAAAUGAAUGACAAAGCCUGAAAUCCUUGAUCUUUGCAAGUACACAAAAGACAAAUGAAAAGUAUAUGUAGCAAGAAAAUGAAACAAAUUCUGCACAAAGUACAUCACGUAUGUAAAAAUUGCCAUCAAAACCAAGAUCAAAUCCUCCUCAAAGUCCCAACUCCUCUUGGCACUUGGAUUGUCCAGCCAAAAAUUGAAUCCAUAAAACCACUGUGGUGCUCAAGUAUCAAAUAAGCAUGCCAAGAUUCACUACUGGUCAAAUUACUUGGACCAUAUCUUUUCUAGGCAAUUAUAUAGCUUAAUCUACUGAUCUAAAACUGCAAAAAUGUAUUUCUUGAAACACAAAUGCAACAAAUCUCUAUUCCAAAUUCCAUUCCAUUAUAUUUUGAUUUUAAUAGCAUGUAGAGAAGCAACAAUUGAAUUUCACAUCGAACAAAAGGCAUCUUAUCAUGUAAUAACCUCAAAACGAUUCCAUAUAUGGUAACUGACAACUUCUGAAGGUGUCAACUGCAUAAACAAACCAAAGUCACCUACAAAAGGCUUGGCCAUAGCUUGCAGCUCUUAGUAGUGUCCUUUGACGGGAAACAUCAAAUUCAUGACCUGCAGCAUCAACACAUGCUUCAACAGCCUCUUGCAAGUACGUACGAAUCAAUCUCAAAUUUUCAUCUGCCUGGUAGACAAAGGAGAUUCAUGAAAAAUUACACUAACUCAUAUUCACAUGCCAGCCUAAACACACUUUAGUCUUAAGCAAAUCAAAAGUCCUGCAAACAGUAGUUAAUAAAUUGACAGCACAUGUUGGUAAUUAUUUGAGAACUUGAUAUAAGAACACAUUUUAAGGGAGUAUAAUUAAUUUUUUGCAGUUCAAAUAGCAGAAAUUAAAACAAGAUGAUAUAAAUCAUCUCAGUUGCACAUCAAUAGUAGCAUACCUUAGCACUUCGCCUGUCAAAAUGAUCUAAUGCAUCAACUAGUAAUGAUGCAGGUGAUGUGCUGCCUAUCUUAAAGAUAGAUUCGGUGGAAUCAGGUACCCGUUGUAGAAACUCCAUAGUUGUAUUAGAUAAAACCCUCACCCCAUCACACUCAGGGAUAAGAAUCAAAGGUUCAUCAUAAAUGUAUGAUAUGCUAUAUUCAGAAGGUCCCACCACCCAAAGCAUAUCAUCUAGGUAAAGCAGCACACUAUCCAAUCCACACCAAGCCAUCUGCUCCGGAGGAAGGGCUGACUGCAUACAUUUAAAGGAUUACUCAUCAAGAUGUAAGGAAAAUAAAAAAGGACAAACAGAAAACGCUUGAAAACUGAAGUUCAAAUCUCAGGCCACAUGAAUGUCCCAUGAUUUUGAGAGUUUAUUAGACCUUAUAAGCAUGCAUGAUAAGAUAACUCUCAUAUAUUGUCGAUAGCAUUUAACAUGGUCUCAAGCUCUUUAUGAUAAUUCGUAACUAAGGAACCCAUUAUUGUAUUCACAUCAACUUAAACCCAGAACUUGUUGCUUUCACAAAUAGCAAAUGGAAUGCGCCGACUUGGGUUUGAACAUACAAUAUUUAGUAAGAAAAUUGAAUUUAAGUAGAUUAUAAAUACCAAUUUAUCCUCCUGAAAUCCUAAGUCACGAAGCAUUCACCAGUCCAAUUCCACAUCACAUGAUGCACAAUAAGUUAAGCCCAACACUAAAACACAAAUUGUAUAUUUACCUCACAUUGAUACUCAAAGAUGGUUUCAAACUGUAUAUUUGACAUAACAAGAUACCCAUCAUGUGUAAAACGAGCCAAAAUCCUCCCAUUAUGUGAAACUGCAAGUUUCUGCACUGGCCCCCGCAAAUCAUCGCUUUCCACCUGCCUCGCAUCAUCGUCAUCAACAGUCACAAUCCCAUCUCCCACUCCCAGCAGCACCACAACGUUCCCCGACACUGUGUACUGCGGUUCAAUCACCGCCAUGCAAUGCGGUAGCUCCUCCUCCAUCCCAAUUACGGGAUCCGCCAGCCUAUACGGUUUUAUAUCCUUAAAAUCCGACACGCAAAACAACUUCCCGGCCUCCGUCAAACACACCACACCGUUCCCCCAAAACACGCAGUCCACCACAUUCUGCUCAAAGCAUUCUUUCCCCAUAGAAUAAUUGGGCUCGAGACACUCACCAUUAAUAUUAUAACGAUAAAUCGUACCAUCUUGGACUAUGCAAAUUAGUGUUUGAUCAUCGGACCAUGAAAUUCCGAUUAGUCGGCCGCCAGGGUGCUUCCAGACGGUUUCGGAGAUGAGGACACCAGCGGAGUUGAAUAUGCGGAGUUUACGGAGCGCAGAUUCGGAGUAGAGCUGGACGAUCUUGGAGUCGUCGCGGAUGAUGGCGAUCGGGCCACCGAAUGGGGCGCAGGCCACCUUGUUGCGGCUCAAGUCCACAUGUUUCCACCGCAUUUGGUAUAUCUCCAGUUUCCGAUAGAAACGGUUGCUGAGAAGCUGCCACUCCGCCGCAACGGAGACGUUCGCCAUUGUAGCUACAGAGAGAGACGAAUUUACCUGAUCAACCAAAAGUUCUAUCUACGAUUCAGAAUUGGGAAAGUGUUAUUUCACUACAGGAAAUAAAAAAUAAAAAUCAUCAAGUAGUUUGUUAUUUGGAAAGAAAGCACGGUUUUUUCAGAAAAAUAUUUUGCAGUAAUUUUUUUUUUUUUAACCAUAGAAACGUGCACGAAUUGCUUUAAUAAGAUAACAUGUAUAUCUUAAUAAAUCUUAGAAAUUUUAAAUUUUAUUUCAUUAAUUUUUAAUUUUUAUUUAAAAAAAUUAUAAUAUAAAUUAAAUAUAAAUUAAAAUAUGAUAAUUUUUAUAUUAUUUUUAUAAGAUUAUAUGUGUUAGAUAUCAUAAAAAUAUAAUUAUUAAUGUAAAAUUAUAAUUUUACAAUAUGAUCAUUAUUUAAUCAACGUUAUCAAAAAUAGCCUAAACAAUUUUAUUUGAAGCCAUCCAAAUGGCGAAGCUGAGUUGGAAAAGCAUAGAUAGAGGAAAUGAGAAGCCGCUACAAUUUCCUCAAUAAUUCAGUUUUCUUAAACCAUCGAGGGCCCAACAACAUUCCUUUGUGGUUCAUCCAUUGCCUCCGACCACGUUUCCAAAAUUAGCUUAAUUUCUUUAAAAUAGUUUGAUUUUCUACUAAUUAUAAAAAUAUUUUAAAAUAAAUUAAUUUUUGUUAGCCUUUCAAAUAUUAAAAAUAGACGAAAAUAUUUUCGUAAAACCAAAGGAGCUGAAGUGUUAUAACUAUCUGAAAUGGAACCACUCACAGUCUAUGGCUUAAUCAACGGAGAUUUUCUUUCUGAACACAACUUUUAAAUUUAUUUACCAUUCUCUCCCAAUUUGUUUGAUAGAAUUACCAUUCUCUCCCUAAACUACUGCCUAUUGGGUAAACUAUUUCUAAUAUGCCUUCUUUUACUUUCCAGCUAGGACUGUCUCCACGUGACCUGUAAAUGGAAUCAUGUGUCAUGAUAUAUCAAGCAGAACGAGGGUAAGGUGAUAAAGUCAGAAUUUGGCAAAAAAAUAAAUAAAUAAAGCCAAAACAUCAGGUGAUAAUUUUUUUUUUAAUUGAGCAUUUUACGAAGUUGAUUAUAAAGCAAUAUAGAGAUCUUAGACGAUAUUUCAAAAAGCAGUCAAUUGAGAUUAUGGUAUUGGCGGGUGGAAGUUCCAAAAUUCAUCGUGAUGAUCUGGAAAAAGAAAACACCUUUGAUAAGAUAAAGGACCAUAUGAUUUUUUUGAAAAAUUUCACCAUCUCAUCAUUAUUUUAUUAAUCAUGAUUUUGGAGAGUAUUAAUUUUUAAAUUAAUUUAUUAUAAUAAACAUUAUAAGCUGACCCUGUGCCUGAUUUGGCUGAAAAUGAUUUGACAUCAAAACAACUACAAGUUAAUUUUGAUGAAGCUUCCUUCAAGUUGUUAUUUUUCAUGAAAACCCAUUUGUGUAAUAAUUAAAUGGUUAGGAUUGAAGUUAUUAAGGCAAAGGACAAAAAGGGAAAAAGUAAUAAUUAUAGAUUGUGGAGCCCACAAGCCUAGAUGAAAAAAGCAAAAGGUUAUGGUCCUAUCUCCCUCAUUUCAAUUUUCCAAGUUCAACCACCCUUUCAACCUGCCCAAAUUCAUCAUGCAAAUUGUUCUAACAGAUGGGCUGGGUUAGUGAUUGUUUGGUUCAAUUUUUUUUUUUUUUAAUUUUGUAAGUAUUUUCAUAAAGAUUAAGAAAAUUACUUCAUGUGAAUGAGGUAACUCUUUUAAAUUUAGGAAAAGUUGAGACAAAAUACUAAUUAACAAACUAAAUUUAUUAAUAUUUAAAAAUUUAAAAUUUUUAUAUUUAUAUACUUAAUUUAAUAAUAAAUAUAUGUCAAUAAAUUUAAAAUAUUUCACGUUUUAUUUAUCCAAUUCUGUAGCAUUUUAGAAAAAACCGCUAGAAAACCAAGCAUUUUUCCCUUGAAGUUGAUAGUUGUCAAAAUGCUAGUAGUAUAAUCUCUCCAUAGACUACAGAAGCUUCCUUUUACUCUCUCUUCUUUUUCUUCUUCUUUCUUUUUCUUUUCUUUUUUUUGUUUGCGUGUGUUGGGUAAUGGAAGCAGAGUACUAGUAGCAUGUGGUAUAGUAGUGGGUAGCAGAGGAUAAUGUUUGCAGUGCAAUCUGCCAAAAGCCCAGUUACUGGUUUCCACUUUCCACUGCUUGCUUGUGAAAUCUGGGAUUCCUUUGCCUCUCAAAUCCCACCUUUCAAAAUCUAUCAAUUUCCUGAUUUGUGAACCCCACUUGGUUGAAAUAUCACACAUCCCCACUCUUCACUUGCUCAUAUCCUCUAACCGAAAGUUAUCAACCUCCAUGCCACACCCACUGUAAUUUAUUCAUUAAAAAACAAGAAAGUAAACUUUAUCUUUUGAAAAUUUUACUCCUUUAAAAACCCUUCUUGUUGUUGGAAUAGAGAUUGUUGAAGUGUUGGUGCUUUUGCAUCUGGCAGACAGGGAAGCACUAUUGUCAUAUUCUUUGAGAGCAGGAAAUCUUGAACCACUUCAAGGAUGCAAAUCCGAUUCAGUAGUGUCAAUAUAGCAUAAGAGAAGAAGAUCUGCAGAAGGUCUCUGCAAAAAAGAUGCAAGCUCUGCAGAAACCAGUUUCUUUCAUCAUCUAUGCAAGCCUCCUCCACCUUGUCUCCUCUUCUUCAGAGCAGGUUAAAAUCACAGGCAAUGACACAAGCAGCGAGAAUGGCAUUCCCCAGGUAUUCAAGUUAGUUUUUUUUUUUUUUUUUUCUUUUUCCUGUUGUCUGUCUAUCAAAUUUUUGUUUCUUUAAGUUUAAUGAUUGUUAAAGAUGUUUAAUUUGAAGCUGAGUGGUACUUGGUAACUAUUACUUAACAGAUUAGUUCUAAACUGGUGUUUGAGAUUACACUUCAUGGAGUUCUCCUCUGGGCAUCAAUGGGGUUCUUGAUGCCUGUCGGAAUACUCAGCAUCAGAAUGUCAAACAGAGAAAAAUGCCGGAAAAGGCUCAAGAUUCUUUUCUAUCUUCAUUCUAUUUCACAGGCAGGUUUCUUUUUCUUUUUCUUUUUCCUUCCUUUUCUUCUUUCUUUAUUUAUUUCUUUCUGCUUUUUUUUUUUUAAGAAAAGAAAAGUUAUUGGCAUUCUCUAACAUUCCAUAUCAUCAGACCAGCUUCUAGCUAGUUAAUUUUUCACACUCAAAGAUUCUCAAUCCACAGAGUCGCAGAAAGAAUUCAAUAAUAGCUAUUUGUUUAUUAGAGGCUAAUGCCCCUACUUUGUCUCAUAAUGAUGAUAGCCCAAUUUGCUGUUAAUCUCGUGAUUUCUUCAAAAGUAAGCAAAGACGAGGAUCAUGACAGAUUUAUAGUUGAUGGGCAGUCCAUAUUUAGCUUUACGAGCUUAAAUAAUAUAAUUAAGCACAAUUAUGAAGUUAGGUGUUUGCACUGGCGCUAAUCACAACUGCAGUAAAGGCUAUAUAUCUAACCCACAUGUGAAAAAGCCAAGAUAAUAUUCUUGAUCAGCAGAUAUGAUUAUUUACGUAUUACUACAAUGAUUUUUAACGUAAUUAAGUUCUUGAUUAGCAGAUGCUUUCCGUACUUUUGGCUACAGCAGGAGCAGUGAUGUCUGUAAAAAACUUCAACAAUGCCUUCAAUAAUCAUCAUCAAAGAAUAGGGGUAGCACUCUAUGGCAUUGUUUGGUUGCAAGUCCUUAUUGGGUUGCUACGUCCACAAAGGUAACGAGACACUAAGGCCCACUUGGCAUGGCAGGCGGCAUGAGAUGCACGAACUCCCAAAAAUUUUAGUUUGAGUUCAAAUUUUUUAUUUUCAAUUGUGUCAAUCACAGUUGUAGCUCGUUUAAACUUAGAUGCAUAGGAUUUCAUAAUAUAAAUAUAUAGAAUUUCAUGUGCAACCGGAUAUAUAGGAUUUUAUGGAGACUCCACCAUUAUUUUACACUGUAGGAGUUCAUGCACUCACUCUGCAGCGUGAAACCAGCUUAAUAUUCAUUUUUGUGGUCUAGGCUCUGUGGCUCUGAUAUAUAGUAUGCUAUAUUUUGUUUGCAGAGGAUCAAAAGCAAGAAGUAUAUGGUUUUUUUGGCACUGGAUGCUUGGAACUGCUGUAUCUCUCCUUGGAAUUAUCAAUAUCUACACAGGAUUACAAGCUUACCAUCAAAAGACAUACAAAAGCACAAGACCUUGGACUGCACUUUUCAUCAUUGAGGUAUCUUUGAUUGCCUUGUUUUACCUGUUGCAAGACAAGUGGGUUUAUAUGCAAAAACAGGGAGUGAUUUUGGGCGGUGAACCUGUAAGGCUCAUUCAUCUAGUGGCCACUACACAAGAUAAGCAGAAGGAAUCCACCAAUGAGUCUUGUUGAGAAACUCAGAAAGCAAGUGAUUUUGCUUAUACUAACAGAGACCUUAAUUUACACACUUAUUUUUGUUUUACAUGGACAUUACUAUAAAGUGUUGGGUUUGAAUCAAAUUAAACGGUUGGAUAUUGAUUGUGUUCAUAAUAUCUAAUAUAAGGAUUGCUUACAUUUUUAUGGACUCUUUUUUUAAAAAGAAAAAAAAAUAAAUGUUCGUUUCUUCUUUAAAAAGAAAAUGUCUGAGUGCCAAGAAAUUGAUAUAAAUAGGCCGUAGUGAGUUGGCCCUUGUAAUUGCGUGGUGCUUCCGACUUGGUGGUCCUCAGAGAUUUUCAAUAAGGGGAAAAAAUCACUUUUCUGCAAAGGAAAACCACUAGCUACAAAAUAAGAAAAAAAAAAAGGAUAGUACCAGAUUCAGAUAUGACUCUUAAUAGUGGAUAGCUUUUUGUUAUUCCUUGUCAAGAUUUUUAUAAAAAGUUGAGAAAGGAUAAAUCCGAUUUUUAUAAGAAUGUGUUGUGGGAAUUAUGAAUUCAGCCUUUUAUGAUUGGGGAUACGUUGGUUAUGCGCGUGGUUAGUGUAAAGAAAGGAAUUUUGUUGAACCUUGCAUGGAGAAAGGAUUCAUGAAUGUUUUUUUUUCCCCAUUCCACUGCAUGGGUAUUGUUUCUCUCAAUCUCAAAGCUGCUUAAGGUGAAGCUAAACUAAACCGAACAUCAAUCAGAAGUACCUAUAGACUUGGAAGGAAAGAAGUAUUAACCUUGAACUGUAAUAUGUAACAUAUUUGCAUCAAUCAGUGUCAUAAAAACAAGCUCAUGUUUUCAGUGAAACAUGCCAUACUACUACAAUUUAACCUUGCACUCCUGCUGGGUAUCCCUAACUAGCCAGACACAAAUUGCAUCGUCUCUUUAUGCUCCUAGCUUUCUUGAUAUUUGUCGGUAAUUAUCAGAGGAGCAAAGUACAACGGCACGAGAAUAGUGUGUUUAAGCUCAAGUGAAAGUCGACAGAAUCACCAUAUUCCAGGUUAUGGCAGAAAAACCAGUUUGCAGUCUUGGCAAGCAGAGGAAAUCAACAGUCGAGGCAGGGCUGGAGUACUUGUUAUAUAUAACCAGAAAAACACCAUUUUCGUCAUAUGUCCACUAGCAGAAAAGGAGCUUCCUUGUUCAGUUGCUUCACAUUUAAGAACCAGCUGGAUGCAGGAAGCUAAGACCACCCUGCCGUCUCACAUGUUCAGGUAUGAGCCUGUUGAUCAAUUCAGGUGAAGCUUCUGACAGCUGAAACAAGAAUGAAAGAAAGUGGAAAGAAUUAUGGGUACUUGAAGGAAUAAGAACUAUUGUAGCAAAAAUUAUUUUAAAAAAGGAUUCUUCCAAGCAUGGCAACAACAAGAAGACAACAACCAUUUUUAAACCCAAACUAUCCAAUUAGCGGACAGAUAGCUUGGGAGCCAGGCUAGUGAGUGUGGGGGCAUAAAUACUCGGAUGGUUAAAAAAGAAAUAAAGCCAGGCAGUUGAGCAGUUCAACCAUUGCCAGGUAAAUUUCAUAGAAAUGUGCAGGUUUUCUCCAUUGUUCACUUAAAGAAAUGUGAUCUGCAUAAAGUCAUCAUCAUGGCCAGAAGGUUACUUGCUACUCUGAUCUGCAUUUAUCUUGGGUCAAACUAAAGAUGCAUUAUUGUAGAAUUGCUUCCAUCUAUUUAUAAAGCAUCAUAAGGAUAUAUCACACAUGCCAUGGUCGAAGAAUGCAUGAUGGAUGUUUUGCAUAUGCCAGGAUAUUUCUACUGAUGUGCAUGGUACAACGAAAAAAUAAAAUUGGAAACAUACUUCCUGUUUAAAGUUGAAAAGAGGUGGCAGUGGCCGACCAUUUGGAAGACGGGCAUUAGGCUCACGUAGCUCAUCAAAGAAAGGAUGUGAACAAGCUUCAAGCUGAGGUAUCAGAAAGUGAGGUCAGCCAAGUGAUAGACUUGCAUCCAUAUGCUUAAAUGAAACUGGGGAAGUAGACUGAUGGAGGAAUUCCAAUUGCAACAGCACAUGAUAAGUUGCAUCUCUGAUGAGAACAUCAAAUGUGAUGUUGACCCGGCACUUGUCAAGUCUUUAUCAACAAGUGAUAUGCACUGAUUUUUUGUGAAAACAAACAACUCUAUCUUGGGACCAAACUAAAACUCCAUGAAAAAAGAAUUAAGUUUGACUUACUGCAGUGCAACGAAGACUAGGUGAAUAUUGAAGAAGCCGUGAAGCAAGGUCAAUUGCUUCAGGAGGCAUUCGUUUGUGGAAAAUCUGAACAUAAAAUCACAACAAGUUAAACAACAGUAUAAAUUUUGACAUGAUAUUUCACAAUCUACAAUAAUAGAGGUUUAUACACGAUAGGGAAAACCCUUACAAAUUACAAUCACUAUACAGCUUGGACCAUUAUAAUAUAAAUACAGUAACAUAUUCACCAAAGAAGGUUUGACCCAAGUUUCUAGCUAUAGGCUAUGCAUCCCAAAAGGGAUGCAAGGAGUAUGGCACAUUUAAAUGUAAUGUUACAAACCAAACUAUCACCAUAUCCGCUGAGAGAAGCCCUGAUAAGUCACUUACUGCCGUAUUUAAAGUUGCAUAAAAGGAAUUACUAGUAUGCCUGCUAAUAGCAUUCACUUAUAAUUUAUGAGAAUGUUUUUUUCUCUACCUUUACAGGUUCAAGUCAACCUUUAAUAAAAUAUUGAACCAUAUCAGUUGAGAAAAAACCCCUACUAAGCCACUUAGUAGCAUUGUUUCUCCUACAUUCAUAAAACAGACAAUUUUUUGCUGAUACAUGUUGAGCACUUGCAAUUUUACCAAUUGCACUCAAUUUAAAGUCAUGUUGAGGACUAAAUACGAGUAUGUCCUGCUACUAGCAAGCACUUGUAUGUUGUAUCCAAUUUUAAGCACAAUAUUUUUUGUGCUUUUCUAUUCCAGGAAUCAAAGUCUAAGCACUAUUGCCCAAGAUCCAUGUUCAAUAAGGUACAGUUAAGUAUAAACCUUGUGCCAAGGGUGUGCUUUAAUCUGUGGGAAUCUAAAAUCCGUGUAAUUUGGAUUCAUGCAUCGAAUUUCUUCUCGCGUUGGAGUACCCAGAACCUAUGAUGGAUCAGUUAAGACAUGAUUAUGGAACUUGAAGAAUUCCAUGAAUAUCAGUAACAUCAACUGAGGUAAUAAAACUUCACCUUGAUGAUCUCAACAAGUUGAUCUACUGCAUUUUCCCCAGGAAACAAUGGCUAUGAAAAGAUUUAGAAACAUUAAGUAAACAAAAUGGUGGAAGGAAUAGGUUACCAGAAAAGAAUGUUAUUGAUAACUGCAGCUUAUAAAAUGCAAUUGAAGUCAACAAGACAACAACAACCUGACCCAGAAGAAGCUCAGCCAAUACACAACCAGCUGACCAAAUAUCAAUUGAAGUUGUAUAUUCUGUUGCACCAAAUAUGAGCUCUGGAGCCCGAUAAUAGCGAGAGCAUAUAUAUGAUAUGUUUGCUUCACCCUGGACCUAAUGGUAAAAUAAAUAAACAACUUAUACUGCAAAUAAUAACAUGCCAACCCCAUAAGGUUAGGCCUAUUUUAACUUGCCAUGACGCCAUCCUGUGGUUUCCUGCAUUACUUUGCCUUAUGGUUUCAGCGAAAGCAAAGAUAAACUGGAGAAUUAAGAUCUUAAAAAACAAGUUUCGAUUUCCCUAAGAAAAAUUAUAUAUCCCUUUUGAAGGUACAAAUGAACUGUAAAUUUUUGCUUAAUUUAAAUAAUUUAACACAAAAGAGAGAGAGAGAGAGAGAGAGAAAUGACUGCAAAAAUCCAUUAAUUUUGAUUGAGAAAAGAUGAAGCAAAUCUCAAGGGAAAGGUGUUGUAUCAAGAAUGACAGGAAGGCAAAGUGCCUUAUGGACUUCCAAUAAAGAGGGUUUGGAUCAUUCUAUUAAAUAAGUUUGCAUGUCAGUAUUAAUGAACAUAGAUGAUCACUCAAGUAACAUUUAUAUAAGAUUUGUCUGAUUAGAUUAUACAUAUACAUAAUACACUUAGUUGCAUGCAUACAUGACUAUAACCAUGUGUAAAACCUAACAAAAAUUAGAUAUAACUAUUAAUGGUGAUCCAGUGUAAAUAAGUAGUAUGACACAUAACAUAAAGAGUUAUACCCAGAACUACUGCUAAUCCUAGAAAGCAAAAAAAUUAAUAAAUAAAUAAAAUUAAAGUAUAACUGACUAACAAUUCAUUUUAAUUCUGCAGUAUGACAAAAUGCUAGAAAACCACGGCAACAUUAUGCCAUGACUUCCCUCCAAAGCAUGUAUGUCCACCCAAGAUGCAUUUGGAGCGUUGGUCUUCAUUUGUAAAACAUGGACAUUCAUCAGUAUUUUCAACUUAAUUUACAGCUCCAAGUCACAUACAGUAUGGCACUUUGAAAGAUCAAUUGUUUCCAUAGUGACACGCUUAGAUAGCAAAAAUAAACUGCAAGUAGGGGAUGAACAUACCAAGACUUUAGCACUUCCAAAGUCACAAAGCUUAACCUGGUGAGUGAGGGGAUCAACCUGCAAAACAUGCAUAUAAGACACAUGUAGACAACCUUCAAGUUAGAAUAACGUCUAAAAAUUACAUACCAGAAGAUUUUGAGGCUUUACAUCUCUGUGACAAACUCCAGGAACAGUAUGGAUAUAUGCCAAUCCCCUGAAUAUCUGAGAUGCAAUUUCCAAGAUAUAAUCACGCUUCAAGUAAAAAUAAAGAAAUAAAGUCAAAUGAAACUAUUGUUUAUACUUGGUAUGUAUAAAGUUUCACAUAGAUGAGCGGCAUCCGUUGGUUUAUACUGGUAUAGUGCUUCAAAACCCUGUACAUUGUUUCAGGAACAUAUUCCAUAACCAAAUUCAGGAAAAGCUCAUCUUUACUUGUCGUGGAGAAGAAACAAUGCCUCAGGGGAACCACAUUUGGGUGAUCCAUCAACCGCAUCAGCUGCAGCUCACGAUUUUUGUAUCGUUUGUCCUGCAAGACUUUCUUUAUAGCCACCGGCUCUCCAGUUUCCAAGCAUUUUGCCUACAAAAGGAUUAUCUCAGAGAUGGAUAAAAGAGAAACAAAAAUAUUUCAGAUUCUUCUCUAUCAUGGAAAUGACUUGUUCCCGGAAAAAAAAUUUGUGGAUAACAGUUCAUGAGGAAGUGAACAAUUUUUCAUCAUUUGGUUGUAACACUGAAAAUCAACUGCAAGUUAAUUUUUAUGUUCGGAAUAUAUUGGGGGGGAAAUCUUUUCCUCUAGCGUUGAAGACUUUGGAAUCUCUUUUUUCUUUUUUAAAAAAUCAUGUUGUUCCAUUUACAGUUGUCUAGAAAAGAAAAUUACACAGCUUUGGUGGCCAACAACAACUAUGAAGGCUGGAGCUGGCCAUGGUCGGUGGACUAGUGUCAUUUCCAUGCAGGUUCUUUCCAUUUUCACAAGUUUCACGAGUAAACUAUUGUUUAGUGCUUUUUCUUUGCCAAUAUACAUUCAUCUUUCUAGUUUGAAAAAAUAGAUUAAAAAGUCCCUCAUUUUUGCUUUCUUCAAACACUUUAGUCCUUCUAUUUACUUUUUGAAGUACAUUCUAGCAUAUUCCGCUAGUCAAACAAGACAAUGACAAAUAAACAUUUUUUAAAAUAGAUGGAUGUAAGUGUUUGUAAGGUAAAAUAUAAGGACUAAAUAGUAAUUACCAGAGUUUCAUUGUUAAAUUGGUGGUUUCCUUGUGUGUGCCAGACACUAGAAAAUGUUUUUGGUAAAAUAUUUCCAACUAAACAAAUAGAGAUUAGUUGUCAGAGCUAAUAUCCAAACCUGAAAAACUAUUCCAAAUGAUCCAGUACCUACAACUCGCUCAGCCAUGUAACUGAUGGUCUGCAAGCAACAGUGAAAGAGGAUAAACAUAAGAAACAACAUUAUGGAGAAUCGAAGAUGAAAAUUGAUAAUUGAGGUGCAUCAAUGCUUAGAUCGUAGCACUUCUACAAGCCAAAAUGCAAGUGGUAGAAUAGCAAAACUACCAUUUAGAGAAAAGCAUUGGUUGCUUUGUAAGUCACUAAGAACAUAGUGCUUAAUCCAAUGCAAUAAAUCAGCAAGAAAAGCUAACAGUUUCAGUCAAAUCAAAAGUCACAAAAACAGGAGGAAGUAACAAGCCUCACCUGUUUGGGCUCCCCAUUCUUGCCUCCAAUGGUAGUGGAUAUGAUAUGACCUGUAAUUGCACCAUUCCCCUCAACUUCAGCAGAUGUCAUUUCCUGCAGUUGAUAGCAAUAUAUCAAAUUACUAAAAGCACAAAGUGGUUCAAUCUGAUGAUUGGGACACUUUGGUCCAACAUGAGAAACAUGAUCCAAGAGUUUUGCACACAUCAAGUGCAACAACCUGCAACGGACAAUAAUCAGGAACCUAUACAAGAUUCCACCUCACUUGAUUGCCUAGAUAAUGUGCAUAAUGCUUUUCUAAUGCAUAUGUCUUCAUUAGCUUAUUCUGCAGUCUGAACCAGCACAUGCAAUGAAAAACCUAUAAAAUGCAUGUCUCUAUUCUCUACUCACAUGGCUUGCCAAUUUCAGAGACCACUGAAGAAAAAACUAUAUUCUUUGGGUAAAACAAAUAUUUGGCAGGUAGGAUUAUACAGGAAACAAUAUUUAGAGCAGCUGAUCAAUAAAAGCAAUAGUGGAUAUUUCUGAUGACAGUUAAUAUUUGAAAAAAAAGAAACUACCAGAAGAAUAAAGAAGUGUCUGGCAAGAGAUUGAAGAAAGGAAGAUAACAAAGGUUACUUGUCAUGGAGAAAGCAAAUUAGGGAAAAAAAAAAAGCAGAAGUUACAAGAAAGCACAAAAUUCCAUAAAAAGCUUAGCAUAUCAAGCAAGAGACUUAUAAAUUGUUGGACAUAGAAUCCUAGGACAUUCACUGCCAGAAGCAAACUACAUUGGUUCAAAGACAAUCCACUUGAAGUACAAGAAAAGUAUAAAGAAAGUUCACACCCUCUUAUCCUGGAGAGAGAGAGAGAGAGAGAGAGAGAGAGAGGGNNNNNNNNNNGAGACUUAGCAAGGAACCAAAGAUCUAAGAAGUGCCUGCAUUAAGCAUCACCACUCAAACAAAAUAACAAAGAUUAAACAUACAAGGAAGAGAGAGAACAAAAACUGAGCUAUAAAUAAUGUAAGAGGUUGAUUAAAAGAACACCUAAACUAGAACUGUUUGGCUAGUAAAGAACACAAAUAUAUAAUUCUUUGGAUACACUGAAAAACCCAGAAAAAUAAAUCAUCAGCUGAAUCUCAAGUGAACUAAAAUUUUAAACUUUACACUCUGGGGUUAUCCCAAUAUUUAAUUCCCUUUAUUUUGUAUUUUCUAUUUAAUUAUUCAAGACUAAACUCUUUUCUCUGUACGCUUCUAAGAAGAAAACAACUUCAAAAUCUUUUUAGUCUUAGCCAAAAAGAAAGAAAGAAAACAACCAAUCUUAAGAUGAGGAUCUGUACCAACCCAAAACAAGCAAAAGGAUGUAAAAAAAAAAAACAAACAAACUAGAAUUAGACUAGAAAAUGAAGAAAGAAAAGCUAGAUCAAACAAGAUCCAUUCACUAAUCAAGUAUAUAGAAAGAGAAACUCGUACUGAAUGUAACCCAAAUUCAGAAAAAGAGUAAAAUGAGAAAAGGUGGGUAGAUGAAAAUAGCUAUAAAUAACCUUAUCGGAAUCCAUAUAUCAGCGGAGAGGGUGGAGCUUCAGUGGGUCAUCGUACGAUGGAGCUAAGUGUGAUUGCUGGGCUUGAUGAUGAUGUUGAAGAUGAUUGAUUAGCUCCCAAAAGCCAAAGGCAUGGAGAGAGGGCACUGCUCUCUGCAAAUUCCCUUUGCCUUUCCUCUCCUUUCGCUCACUCUCACUUCACACGCACACAAACACACAUCAUUUUUUGCAUUUUCUUUUCAUUUUUUUCUUACUUGCUGUAACUCAAUUUAGCAUUGCUUAAUUAGCUUUUUUACUAUUUGUCUUAUUUAAAAAUAAGUUUUUUCUUAAAUGAAAACUGAAAAUUAAAAAAAAAAUUAAAAUCUCUCAUUCAAUAAAUUUUAUUAUUAAAUUAUUCAUAAUAUAUUUUAUUAUUAAAUUAAAUCGGUGAGUAUGAAAAAGUAAAUUCUUAAAUUUAUUUUUUUAAAAAUUAAAGACAUAAAUAUUGAUAAUAUUAAUGUAGUAUUUUAACUAAAAAUUAAAAAGACGAAUUCCACAUUAAAAUCAUUAUAGAUAAUCAUUUUACAUAGGCCAAUGGCCGAAGAAAGGUUAAAUGUUCAAGUCAAUUUAUAUUUUAAUUUAAAGUUUAAAUUUUAUAGGAAUUAGCUUAAAACUUACAUUUAAGUAAUUUUUAAAAUUAAAAUUAAAAUAGCAAUCUAAUCAUUAAAUAUAUUUUUUAUAUUUUAAGAAUUUUAUUCUAUAAUAAUAUUUAUAAAUAUUUUAUAAUAAAUAUAUUAUUUAAUCUAAAUAACAGCGUAUAUAAAAUAAUUCAUAAUAAUAUAUAUGUUAUAAAAUUUUUAUAGUUAUUAUUCUAAAAUAAAAUUCAUCAUUAAAAUUAUAUAUUAUAUAUUUAAUAAUUAAAUUAUUAUUAUUUUUAAAAUUAAAUAUAUCAAUUAAUUAUUUUCUUAACUAUCACGCUUUUAUAGCAAAGCAUUUGCACUCAAGACAAAAUCAUCUUUAAGUAACUCUCUUUUAUUUAUAUUAAUUAAUACAAUAUAAAUCAAAAUUUAGGCUCCAUUGACGAAAAAUAAUUUAUAUUUUUUAAUUAAAUAAUUUAUUUUUUAUUAUUUAAUUUUAAUUUAAAAAUAAAAUAUAUUAACAAAAUUAUUUUUUUAUUAAUUUUUUUUAAUGUUUCAAAACACAACAAAAUUGAAGAAUAUUUUUUAUAAAAUAAAUUAGAGAAAAAAAAUAGGAGUGCUAUGAAAAAUUAAACUCCUCUUACAAGCGGGCAAUGAAGUUCUUAUCAAAGCAGUUGUGGAGGUAAUUCCUUUUUUUAUCAUGACUUAUUUCAGAUUUCCUACAACUUUCAUUCAGGAAAUCCAUUAAGCAGUAGCCUGGUUUUGGUGAGGAAGUUGUUUUGAUAAAGCAAGAGGGAGGCAUGGGUUUUAAAGACUUGCACUUAUUCAGGAUGCUAUAUUUGCAAAACAAGCCUGGAGAGUUAUAAGUAUCCCCAUUCUUUGUGGGCUCCUAUCAUGAAAGGUAUUUAUUUUUUCUUUUCUGAUUUUAUGGAUGCUCCUGUGGAUAGACAAGCAUUUUGGGGAUGAAGAAGUCUGUUAGUUGGUAGAGAGGCAAUCCAUUGGGGGUAUCGCUGGAAUAUAUCAGGCCCCUGUUUUCUUAAUGUGUAGAAUGAUGCUUGGGUCCCUACUUUACCAGAUUUUCGCAUUCAAAGCCAGCAAUAUGAAGGGAGUCCAAUAAUCUAUGUAGCUAAUCUAAUUAACCCUGCAACUAAUCAAUGGGACCUGAUUUUGUUGGCAUAUUCCUUUUUCCAUGAUGAAGGUAAAGUAAUUCUUAGUGUUCUAUUAGCUAUGAAUGUUAGAGAUCCAGAAGUGGUGUGGUUCCAUUCUAGGCAUGGGUCUUGCUAUUCAGUCUGCUAUUAAAAGAAACUUUCUGCCUUGUGUGAUUGAAUCUGAUUCAAGUGGUUGUUCAACUUUAUUCUUCUCAGGAUCCUCCUCCUUAUGAAUAUUGAAAGCUCUAAUGCAUGAUCUUAGACUAUUGUUGUUUAACAAUUCUUUAAUCUUGGUUUCUUUUGUUCCCAUGUCGGCAAAUCUUUGUGCUGACUGGAUAGCUAAGUUUGUAUGCAGUGGAAGGUUAUUCUCGAGCUGGCUUUCCAACUAUCCUUCUAAAUUAUAUGUUCUGAUAGAAAAUGAUUGUACCUCUUUAUUUUUAUGAAUGAAUGAUCUUUUAUUGAUAAAAAAUCUAGUGUUUGAGUCCUACAUAUAGAGGACUAUACAAUGUGGGAGUUUAUAUUGAAAAAAAAAAACCAUAAUAAUCAAUUUACCCCUUUGUUUAUCUCAUAUUAGCUGAUGAUUUAGGAUAAUUUUCUUAUUAAGAUUUUUUUUUUCAAUAAUUUUUAAAAAUAUUAAUUAAAAUACAUUAAAUUUGAGUAUCAGUGAUUCAAAUCACGUCAAAACUAAAUAUAAUUAUAUCAUCUUAUAUACUUCUAACAAUAUUUAAACUCUAUUCAAUACGUUCACAAUCUCUAUAAUUAGGUAUGUUAUUUUCUAAAUAGUCAAUUUGAUUACUUAUUCAAUACUCAUACUGAAGUAUUAGAAAAGUUGUCAAGCCAAUACAUCUAUAUUGAAGAAUCAGAGUUAGGCUUUUUAUUUUUUUGAAAAUAUAACAUUAUAAAAAAUUAUGAAAAAUUUAAUAAAAUUGGUUCAAUAUAACUAGAGAUAAAUUAUUAGAUAUUGUUGAUAUGGUUGAAAAUAGGGCUGGUUAGUCAAUUUGUGUAAGAUAGUUGGUGCGUAUGCAUCGCCACUCCGAUAUCCAAAUUAAUAAACUAAUAAAAUCAGUGAAUGUAAUGAAUUAUUUUGAAUUUAGAAUGAUUGUAUAAAAAUACGUACCUUAAUCUAUGUGCACACCAACUUUCAUAUUACAAAAUAGAGUUUGUUAUCAAAUUCUUUGAAAAUACAGCUUGCAUCGAUUAAUUAAUGGAUAGGAGAUUCCGCAAUUAUAGAUAAAAUGAAAAUCUAUCAGAUUAUAUUCGUUAAUGGUAAUUUUUUAUAAAAUCUCGUACUGUUUUGGAGGAAUGAAUUUUGAUAAAAAAACAAGCGCUACGAUAUCUGAGUUUUUCUUCAAUAGAUGGGACCAUGUGUAAUAUUAUAACAUGUGACUCUAUUUUAUAAUAACAGUUCAUUAACUAUUUUAAUCUAUUAUUAUUUGACAUCAUUUAUAAUAUUAAUUAUAAAUUUUAGGAGAAAAGUCAUAAUUAAUUUUAGAUAUUUAAUCGAUCAUAUUUUAUUAAAAUAGAUUAAACAAUAUAUUAUUAGAUAAAAAAAUGAACUUAAAAUUGAUUCAAAAUAUUAUACAAGUAUUAGAAUUAAAUGAUUCAUUUAUAUAGAUAAGUGAUUAAAUGUAAUUAUAUUUUAUAUUAAUAUUAACAAUAAGUUGUCCCUUUAAUUUAAAGAUUUUUUAAAAAUUAUAAAUAAUUAUAUAAAAUAUUUAAUUUAGGUUCAUUUUAAUAUAUGCUUAAAAAAUUAUGAUCUAACACCUUUUCAGAGCAACAACAAUAAUAUGUUUAUAAUAUUAUUUAAUUAUUAUAUUUAAAUACCUUGUUUUAUGUGUAUAUUUAAUUUAUUUUUUUUUAUAAGAAUCUACCCUAGUACAUAUUUUGUCUUACUGACAUUUUCAUAAACCCUUCAUUUUGAAAACAAAAAUUUACUAACAAUUUCUUUUUUUGAAAUUACUAGAUCCAGUUUUUUUAAAUUGAAAUAUUUUUAUUUAAAUACAAAUGAAAAUAUGUAUAAUUUUAUAAAAAAUUAUUUAAAUACAAAUGAAGGAAAAAUUUUCAUUGAGAUUUAUAUUUAUAAGAGAGAAAGAGAAAGGAAGAGAUGAUUUAGAUUUUUUUUUUACUAUUAUAUUUAUUUAUUUUUAGAGUCAAUAUAUUUAAUAAAUUAUUUUCAUAUUAAACCAUAUGCACGGACUUAAUUUUUAGAAAUUCAGUUAUUUCUUAGUUUAUAUUCAAAAGCGGAGCAACAAAGGUUUUGGGUCGGACUUUUUCAAUGGGUUGACCCGAACCGAACCGAGAAGAUUCAUGAUUCAUCAUAGGUCCGUCCAGAUACUAGCGAUUUACAUAUGGCUGUGGAUUUGCCAUGUCAGCAUUAAUGCCUUUCACGCCAAAAUUUCUCCUUCCUCAAAAAUUUAAAAUAUCCCACCAAUUUUAAUAAAAUUAAACAAAAAUAAAACUCCAAGCUCUCAGGGUUGAGCAAUCCAUAAACAAAAGCAAUUGCAUUUGCAUGCAUCGAUUUAGCAGACACUAAUAAAAAAAAUUAAAAUAAAUUAAAUGCAAAAUGGCUCAAUUGCUGUCUCCUGUGUGCACAGAUGUUCUUAAGAUUCAAAACCCAUUGAUGAAAACAGCUUCAAGAUCGCUUCCUAAGACCAACAACACUACUCCUUGGAGUUGGAACUGGAAGCGAAGAUCAUCAUCUGGCUUUGGCAGACUGAGAGUUGCAACUGAUGAUUCGCCGCCGGUGGCUGAUGACUACUACGCUGUUCUGGGUCUGGUAAUUAUGUAAAAAUUCAUAUUGGUUCUCAACUCUGAAUUGCAGGAUCUUUCUGCCUGGUGGUGAUAUAGCUUUUAAUUUGCUUAUUUGAAUAGCUUCCAGAUGCCACACCACAACAGAUUAAGAAAGCCUAUUAUAAUUGCAUGAGAGAAUGUCAUCCAGACUUGAGUGGGAACGACCCAGAAACUACAAAUUUCUGCAAGUUCAUUAAUGAAGUCUAUGCGGUGGGUUUCUCUUUCUUUUUCUUUUUUCUGGGUAUAUUUUGGUCAUUUUCGUGUCUAUAAACAAUUGAUAUAUUGCAGGUGCUCAGUGACCCUGUGCAGCGCAUGAUUUAUGAUGAAAUUCAUGGCUAUGCAUUGACGGCAAUCAAUCCUUUCUUGGAUGAUUCUAGCCCUAAGGAUCACGCAUUUGUCGAUGAAUUUAGUUGCAUAGGUAUGAAUGAACUUGCACUUCUAGUUGAAUAUGCUUUUUUUUUUUUCUGUUUAGAGAAGAGGAAGUGGACUGGAAUUUGGUUCUUUCCCAAGUUAAUAUAUGAACCUACCAAUGGAUUGCAAAUGCUGUAUUUGCCUCCUAUGAAAGGCUUCUUCACACUUUAUUAACGUUUAUAUUUCGAAGGCAUUGAUAAUAUGAUGUUGAUGUCUGCCUAAUUUCACGGAAUCCAUCUUGUAGAAGCAUAUGAUGCUAUAAUUCUAGCCUCAAGGGAGGCAACUUUAAAUCAGUUGAUUGUUGAUAAAAAGAUUUCAUUCUAUUGCUACCAUUGGAUUUCAUUUAUUUGGAUAACUUACAGCUGGAAGAUGCCUUCAAUAAAGUUGAAAAACAAUAUUCUAAUAUUUUGCAGGCUGCAAAAAUUGUGUCAAUGUGGCCCCUGAUGUAUUUGGAAUUGAGGAAGACUUUGGAAGAGCAAGAGUGUACGGUCAAUGUGGAAACCCUGAAUUAGUGCAACAAGCAAUUGAGAGUUGGUAAUUUUCUUCCAUUCUUCUUCAUCGGUUCCGCAUCAAUGGAUGUUGCUAAACAUGUUAACAUAAUUUAGUUUGUGCGGAAGAUGUGGCAAUACAAACUCUUUGUACAUAUUUCGAUUACAUUGUUACUGGUUCAUUUAAUUCAAUCACUGAAGCAAGAUAGAUAAAUAGUUUGAUGACCCAAUUAACAAUAUCUGAAUUUAGUUUGAUGAAUAGUGUUUCGCUUUUUGCUAUUUUGGUUCGCUUCAUACAGGGUUCAAAUUUUGAACAAAAACUAUUUGUCAUGCAAAACCUUAGGGGCUUUUGUAAUUGCCAUUUUAUUUUUCAAAUUUAAUUGCCUUGUGGAGGAUCCCACUAGUCAAAGUCUGUUCCCUAUAAGAUAGGAAGAUUAAGGGCAAUGAGGGAAUAGAGAUAAUCCCAUGUAAGGUAACCAUUUCCUAUAGUGAAUUGUCCUUUUCCAAAUAUUGAAAAUGGAAAUGAGCAUUCCCAUCUUUAUUUGGGUCCACUUUACUGCCGAAUCAAUUGACCAUAUAUUUGUUUGAAGCAACUAGCAAAUUUAUCACACCAAUUUUCAGUUUUCAUGCUUGCCAGUAUAGCAUUUAAAAUCUAUUAAAGUAGCCUGCAGC
Molecule: long non-coding RNA, 75473 nt
Filed under: Manihot esculenta (cassava)
Lineage: Eukaryota; Viridiplantae; Streptophyta; Magnoliopsida; Malpighiales; Euphorbiaceae
Description: long non-coding RNA (MESC_LNC000836)
Rfam family: U1 spliceosomal RNA (bases 151-312)
Source: RNAcentral